RNAcentral lists this long non-coding RNA (62289 nucleotides) under Malus domestica (apple). RNAcentral's name for it is "long non-coding RNA (MDOM_LNC002341)". Lineage: Eukaryota; Viridiplantae; Streptophyta; Magnoliopsida; Rosales; Rosaceae. The record is from RNAcentral.
UUUUUUUUUUUUGUCAAACGAUAGAUUUGUUAGAUUAGAUGUUAGAGCCAACAGAGUCCGAACCCACGCCGUGGUGCAAGGACAACAAUCCUCUCCCUCACUGUCUAUUAUUUUGUUAUAUCUCCUAUGUGAAACUCUGCCAAAUGUGAUUGCAUAAGGAGUAUUAGUAUUGAUGGGAAAUUCUAAGGUCUGAUUUCCGGACCAUCUCACCCCUACAUAUCCAGACACAAAAAAUCAUUCCCUACCCCACCUCCCUAAUUUGUCAUGCUAUCCUGACCACUUUUGAUCGCCUUCCCCAACACCACCCGGAUUGGAGGUGUCGUACCCAAGAACCUCUCGUAGCUGAUGUGCUACGAGAGGUGGAUGAGUGCGGGACCCAUUGUGAGACCCACAUUGAUCAAGGUGUCAAAAUGCGUUAAGUGUGUGACAUGCGUCACUAAUGCUAGCACUUCUCAUCACCAAAUAAAGAUAAAACAUGAGUUCGACCACGCCAUUCAUAGAGGUUUUUUUACAAAAACAUAGGACUCCGUGUAUUUUGAUCUCACCCGACUCUGCCAAGCUCAAUUACUCUCUACUUGGAUAUCCCCAUCUUAUAAACAACCAAAGGAAAAUAUUGAUACAGUAUUCUUUACAAACAGAAGGCACAAAGCGGCUUAAGGCCGCACUUUCAACAAAAACCAACAAGGAGUUAAUAAAUCCCUCAAGAUUAUUUCCCACAACAGACUAAGGCAAGUUCCUCCUAUACAUGUCUGCCUAUAGACUAUCCAAAAACUGCUUCAAACAUCACAGCGAAAUAUCAUCGCCGUUAACACAACAAUCCUCGGAAUACCUUUGUUCAAGGAUAAAUACAGGAUCGAUCAAGCAGCGCUCAAGCAGUUCUCCCAUGUCCCGUACUUUGAGCUGAAACUUCCUCCACCGCUCUGCUGCGCAUGCUCAGAAAUAACUGCGUGUGCACAAACAUCCCAAGUCCUUGCUAUCUCCCCAAGGGACAUGGGUUGUGAAAUGCUUCGUAGAGAUAUGCUAAACAUCGAUUUGGCCUUCACAGAAAGAUCUUCAUACUCUUUACUGUAAAAGUAGAACAUUUACAGUCAAAUUUAGGCUUUUAAAUUUAACAUGUGAAACCAAAAUGAGUACAUAAAACUCUUAAGAGACCGAAAAAAUAAUUGAGACAUUCUGUCUUAUCGUCAUGGCACCACAUACUUUUAGUGAGACAAGAUAUAAAUUGAAUUGGGAAACAGAGCAUGCAUCUAAUGAGCUUUUUUUUCAUCGAGAAAAGAUAACAUUUGAAAUAGGAUUUCACCAGAAGGUGGUAAAAGAAAAAGGGCACAAGCCCGUACAGCUGAGAAUGCGCAGUAGGAAAUGCCAGGUCUCUUAGUUUAUGUAACAGCAGCAACAUCUAAAGUCAGAAUCCUUAUUUUCUCACCUGACUUCGACUGGAAACUUGUCCAAGAGUAUUGGAGAGCAGUUGGGGUAAUUUGUGGGAACAAGCAGUCUUAAUGGCUGAAUUGGUGACUGCAAAAUAUUAAAAGCCAAGUAAAUACAAUACAUUUAAUAUUUUGAAGAAAUGUAAAAUAUUCAUGGCAUUAACAUUUGAGAGCCCACCAUUUGUGCUGAAGCAUACUGUGAUUUCAAGCUUGGACUGAGAGCCACAGCAUCAAAAGAGCACUUGACAAGAGUCCCCUCACCCCCUUCAGCAGCGGCUGCACUAGGGUCAACAUCUUCAUCACUGAUAUCAACAACUGUGUCGAUAAGCAGCCGAUUUAUUUCUCUUAUUUCUUCCAGAAGAGCAUGAUUAGCCUGCAAGACAAGCCACACACUUAUGUCCAAGGAAGAAGCAGGAACAGCCCAUUUUUUGUCAGACAUUGAAAAGCUCCGAGAAAGGAAUUCUUUAAAUAAGCAACGUUGAGUCCAGAUCAGCAAUGGACAGACAUAGUGACAUGCACACACCCCAAAAAAAUAAUCGUUCAACAAAAGUUAGCAUCUUGAACAGUUAACUCGCACACAGGCAAAUGCAACUCAGAAUGUACCAAUUGCCAAAGCACUCCAGUCACAUCAAGUGUAUGCAUAGGUGCACAGCAAAACAACUAGCUUUGAAGUCUUGCUGGAAAUAUACAUUUUUAAUGUGAAACUUUAAUUAUUUUAAGUUUGCCCGAAGUUAAAGCAGAUGUAAUUUCUAGUGAGUAUAAAAAAAAUGAUUAAUACCUCAACCCUAGGCCUCUUAAUACGAGAUGUUGCAGUUGACUCCAGGUCAGAUGUCUCUGAAUUGAUCAACUGCUUGAAACUAUCAUUCAUACUGCCAGCUGAAGACACAACAUUUAAGGGCAUGGCACUAGUGUAGCGCCUCAUCUUCCUAGUCCCAUUUGAUCCAUCAUGAGUCAUAACGUUUCUUGCUUGCAGACGACACUUUGUCAUCGCAACCAAAUCCUCACCGACUGCCGCUCUAGAUCCAUUACCUGGGGCAGACCCUGCUAUCCUAUCAAUCAUACUAACAACUGAACCAAUGUCACUAACAGAUGCACUCAAUGCAUGAGGUGACAUCGAUUUCACCUGCAAGUUCAAAAUACAGAAAUUUAAUUUAAGCACAAGUGAGGGAAGGAAAAGACUAACUUAGAUGGUAAGCACUGAAACAUCAUUACAGUACUCAAAAAGAGAAAUAUGUAAUAAGAACCACUUUACUAACCGCCUUAAUCAAGCGUUCAAGAGGCUGCUCGGUAACACUCGACUUGCCAGAAAUAGUUGACAAAGCAUUAACAUGACUAGCAUCUGGUACACUAAAUUCAGCAAGCAAAGGAGAUGCCGAUAUCCCAGGGGUGCCAAUUGCAAGGGACUGGACUGGUGCUCCCACCCCAGCUGUUUGUUGAUGUCCGAUAUUCCCAGCAUUUGGUAGUGAGGAAGGUUUCUCAGAAUCCCCUGGCAUGGGGGAUGGAGCCAUGGGAGUUGAAGGAGAUGGGAUGACAAAAGGUGAACCGGCAGUUUGCAAUGGUGUUCCAGCUUUUGGGUGAGUCAGUAGAUUCUGCUGGUCAACUUGGGGAGAAGAAUGUUGUGAAAUUUGAGGAGAUGCAGCCUGAAGGAGUUGGUUUGAUGAUGGAAUAGGAAAUGGAGAUCCUGAUUUCAACUGCUGAUGCGGAUAAGCACGCUGGCCUGCGGAUAUAUGUUGCUGAAAAACCCCUGGCUUAACACCCAUCCCCUGUCUCAUCUUCAAGUCAUUUGCAUCAUUCAUUUGAUGAAGUUGCGGCAUUUGGUGUUGGUUCGCCUGCAUCUGCGCCGGAAGCUGCUGCUUUGCUUGCUGCAACUGUUGCUGCUGCUGCUGCUGUUGCUGUUGCUGUUGCAGCUGCUUCUGUAUCAGUUGCUGCUGCAUUCGCUGUUGAUACUGUUGCUUCAGUUGAUUCUGAAGCAUUUGCUGUUCCUGCUGUUUUAAUUGCUGGUGUUGAAGCAUACCAGAAUUUGACUGAAGGGAGUUAAUAUUUGGCUGAAGCAUGCUAACCCCGCUCUGUGAUGACAAACCAUUCAUGUUAGCUUGCUGGGGAGCACUGACAGGAGUUUGUUGGAUAGAUCCCACCGGAACUUGCUGCAAAGAGUUCAGUGCAUUUCCCUGUCCUGAAUCCAAAUUUGUACUCGGCUGCAAUGAAUUCAUCAUGUUCUGCUGUGAUGUUGAAAGCCCAGAUAUUGAAGACAUUGAAUUUUGCUGCAAACUUGUCAUAUUGUUCUGCUGCAUUGUUGGCACAGAACCUUGUAAAUUCAUUGUUUGCAACUGCGGGUUCAUUUGAUUUUCAUGAGACUGCACUUGAGGAAUUUGAGACUGUGGCUGCUGCAUGGAGUGCAUAUGAGGUGGGGGGAGCUGCCCUUGUUGCAGAGGAGGACCUUGCUUCCUCGGUCUAUUUGUAUUAAUAAAAUUUACUAUCUGCUUCUCAUAUAAACCCAACUUGUCUUUCAAACCAGGUGAAAUGUUACUCUUGGAAACCUGUAAAAUUGAUAUGAGGCGCUCUAACAUGGUUCUGAACAUUUUUAGCUUCUCAAGCUGCUCUGACUUUGGUUGUUGUGGAAGAGAAUCGUGCUGGCAAACAGAAAGAACAGACGUCAGUAAGCAAAAGAAUGGCAAUAUAAGGAGUAACAACUUUGUUGCGAAAUCUUAUUAGCAUUAUUGGUGAGGUAACAAUCCCAUGUAGAUGGUCUACAUGAGGACAAUAAUUAAAGGGGAGAUCAAGGUAGAAUCUAUCAAAGAGCAGCACCACAAUAACCUAGCAGGGAAACCCUGCUUAUUACUAUAAGUUCAAGCAACAAAUUAUGAGAGAAGAAAAUUUGAAUUGAUUACAUACCUGCUGGAGUUUAGUAGCAAUUUUAUGAUACAUUUCACUUAGUUCGGGUAAGUACUUUUCCUUCAUGACUUUGAUCUGCAAAUGAAAGUUAUAAACACAAAGAUGAUUAGAAAGAACUUUGCUGCAGCUACAUGCUUGCCGACACCAUCAUAACAUCAAUGCCAAUGGAAAUGAGCCUGUGCGUGCAACCAUGAAUUCAGACAGCAUGAAUUCAUGUAUGCUUGUAUCUAAUGAAGCAAGUUUUCAUAAACUUCCAACCGAUGGUAGCUUAACAAAGCUGCCCCACAAGGAGUCUUAACUAGCAUGUAAUUCUUCAAAAUCCCCAUUCAAGGCAAUUUUGGCAUUAGUAUAAUUAUUUUCCAGUAGCUCUAUUCCCACCCCCACGCCAAAUAAUUUGUAAUUUUAUAUUUAGAUGUUGUAUGUGAAAGCCAUCAAAUGGACAAGAAGUCAGGACAUUUUACUUUUUGAUAGACAUCCUCUUGCCAAUCACCCCCAUUUGCAUGUCCAGUCUGAGCUGAGGAAUCUAGAGAAGCUACAAAAUAUAGAGAGAUAUAUGUCAAUGUUUGCACAUAAAAUGAAAUUUGAACACGAGGGUUAAAAAUGAGAAAGAAACAAAAAAAAAAAAAAAAAGCAUUGCAUGCAGAACAUUGAUAUGGAAAAUUAUCCUUCCCAAACAGUUGAAAUGUAUUUUUUGUACAACAAAAUAUAAAUAUCAUUCCAUACAUCAUAAGCAAUCUAAGAACAGACAAGAAGCUUCAUGAGCCAGUGGAACAGGACCAUGCAUGCACUAGAUUGGGGAAAAUACAUCCAUGGGCAGCCAUAUUUAGUAAACACAGUAGUCCACCGAAAGCUCUUUAUCUAUAAACCAAUAGACGCAAAACUGAAGAAUAAAAAGUAAAAACCCAUGUUUUCAAAACCCAAAGGUAUGAAAGGCAAUUCAGGUGCAAUUUGUUCCUACUUUCUGCUUAUGAGGGCAAUUACUUUUUUAUGGGAAGACUUCAAGGUUUCUAUUUCUUUGUUUAAAAGUAAUUGUGGAGUUAUCAAGAAGAAAUGGGUUAACAUUAUGUCACAACAGCAUCUCUAUCACCAUAGCUCAUGAAAAGACAAAGAUACAAAAACUAAAAUCAAGGCAACAGAAGCUUCAGCCUUCACCAGUAAAUCACUCAAAAGAACUCUGAUUGUAAACAUUAAGCACAAGAGGUGAAAGGUAAACUUACAGUAACUAAAGUGGUCCGUAUACCUAAUUUGAGGUGUAGGCACAAAACUCGUAACUAGGCUAUUUAUAUAUAUAUAUAUAUAUAUAUAUAUAUAUAUAUAUAUAUAUAUAUAUAUAUAUAUAUAUAUAUAUAUAUAUAUAUAUAUAUAUUCUCUUAGUCGGGUUUAAUAACUAUUUCCUUAUCCUUGUGGAUUAUUAUUUGCAAUAAUUAUUUCAUUUCCUUGUGGGAUUUUACUUUUAGAUUAUAUAACCACAUCAAUCUCUAUUACUCAACCCUCCCCUGUGGAUAUUCAGAAUACAAGACUAACUUUGAAUUUAUUUUUCUUUCAGUUUGGGAUUUAGCUUUUUAUCUUCCCUCCCCUGUGCUGCAAUAUACAAGACUAACUCUGUUCCUUUUAUAUAAAUCCAAUUACCAAAUAUAAAUCACAAAAUUUUAUGUACACUACCACUACACAUAUCAACCUCUAAAAAGAAAAGCAAGAAAUCAAGAAAGACCAAGGCUUGCUUUAGCACUAUAGUUUAAUGUGACCAGAUAUUUGCAUAGGACUCUGGUUCUCCAUUCCAUGAUGGUUAGAUGCUGAAGUUCUGGAAAAGAACAGAAAUCCUCAUGUUUGACAGAGAGGUAUGAUGCAUCUGUUUAAAAGUGAUGGUGACAACGAACAUGUGGUGGGAAGAUGGGACACACCUACUUGGCAAGAUAGCCAGGCAUAAAAAUUUCUAUUGACUAAGUCCAAUGCACAUCCAUGUUACAUUUUAAUACAAGAAGUCAUAUAUGGCAAAGAUAAAAUUCCAAAAUUAGACUACUUCCAUAGAGAGUCUAGACACCUACAUCUGGCAACCACAACAAAACAAUAUAUUUACCAAGGUCAUCCAAAAAAAAAGUGUGCCCCAUAAAAACAUAUAAUAAAGACCAUUUUCAUAACAAAAUCAAAUUAAUGACAUAAAAAUGACAGUAUUACCUAUAAUACAAUAUGAUAAACAGACCCAAAUCACAUAAUACAAAAGUAAAAUAAGAAUAAAAUAAGAUUCCGUCCAAAAUGUGCACCUAUGAUAAUCCAGAUAUCAUGAAAGCACAUGCAUAAAAUCAGGAAAGUGCAUAAGUGCAAAAAUCGUACUCGAUGAUGUCUCAGCAAGAGGUCUCUGAGAUUGAUAUAACUGCUUUUGCUGAUCCAUUACAUUUUGAGCUUGAAGCAUGGUUCCUGAUAUCUGACCUGAUGCUUGAAGCCUUUGCUGCAUAUCUCGUUGCAGUGGAUUUGACUGCUGUUGCAAACCCAUUUGUUGCAUCUGUGCAGGCUGUGAUUGAAUCUGUGACAUCAUUUGUUGCUGUGAUGCUUGCGGUUGUGACUGCUGUCCUUGAGUCGGUAACAUGUUAGAUGCAUUCGGAUGUUGUUGCUGCUGCACCUGAACCUUGGAUUGUUGCAACAAGUGUACAGAGUGCUGAUUUGGUUGCAUACUAGAAUUACCACUUUGAGUUCCAAGGUGCUGCUGUUGCUGUAAUCCGGUAACAUUACUCUGAGAGCCCAACUGUUGCUGAUGCAUAUUUGAAAGGUUGCUUUGCUGCUGUUGCUGUAACCCAGUAACAUUACUCUGCGGGCCCAAUUGUUGCUGAUGGAUAUUAGAAAGGUUGCUUUGCUGAGCCAUUAACUGCUGCUGCUGCUGUUGUUGUUGCUGUUGCUGCUGCUGCUGCUGUUGAUGUUGCUGUUGCUGUUGUUGCAGGUUUAAAACAUUAUUCUGCUGGUUUAGUAACCUCUGUUGUUGCUGCUGCUGCAUAUCCCCGACAUUAGUUUGUUGUCCAAUCAUCUGAUUCUGGGACAAGUUUGAAGCAGUUGGCUGUUGCACCAUAAGCUGCGGCUGCUGCUGCUGCGGGGUUAAUAUUGGCUGUUGUGCCAUUGGUGUUUGCUGUUGAUGAACAGCUACCUGUUGAGGCUGCUGUUGCUGCCUGAGAACUGGCUGUGAAUGCUGCGGAAGCAUGGGUUGUGAUGACUGUUGCAUAGCAGAUUGUUGAUUCUGCUGGAGAGAUGAUUGCACUGAAGGCUGCAUAACAGACGAUGUUGGCAUAACAGAUUGCUGGGAAGAUUGCAACUGAGUCGGUUGUAAAAGGUUCUGCUGCUGUUGCUGUUGCUGUUGCACAAGUUGUGGCAUAUUUCCCUGCUGAUAUUUUGGCUUCAAAAGCGAAUGUUGCAUCUGUUGAUGGUACAUAUACUGCUGGGAAUUCUGGGAAUUCUGGGAUUGCUGCGGCUGCUGCUGUUGGGGAGCUACCUGUUGCCUUCCUGGCAUUUGCCUUUGAGAAUUAGCAAAGACAUUGGAGGGUACCCCCUGGCCCAUGGAAUUCCCUAAUGAAUUCUGUGAACUUCCAGACAUAUUUUGCAUGUUUGGGUUUUGUCCACCUAUACUUGGGAUAGGAGUCUGGGUUAAACCGGAAGAAGGAGGUAGUGCAGAUGAUAAGCCAGACGAACUUUGAACUCCAGCAGGUGGAAUGUUAUUCUGAAUGCUCUGUGAUAAAAGUGGUUGGCGUCCUUGAGAUUGAUUAGCUGGUAACGGCAUAGAGAGUGAUUGCCCAUGAUUGGGGACUUGGGAUUGCAUACCUUGAUUGGGAACUUGGGGUUGCAUACCAAAAGACCCUAUCCAAGUAAAAUAGCAAGAAUAAACACCACAUAAACAAGCAUCAAAACAAGAAUACAAUAAAUGUCAUUUGUACUCAUCAUUUGACCCAUUAAAUACAAGUGAAUAAAGAUAUCAAGAACGAAUCAUCUCAGUUAAGAAAUGCAGGAAUAAUUAACAAAAAGAAAGAACGUUUCAUUAGUUGUUUUUACCCGGAUCAGGGGGCCUGUUGCUGUUACCCGCAGAGUUAGAUUGUAAAGGAUUGGCCAUUGAAUUCUGAGACUUUGUCUCCAUUGUGAGCAUCUUCAGAGAAAUUUUCCGUAGAUAAUCCGACUACAAAAAUAAAAAAAUCCAUGCUAAAUUUAGAAUACAGUUCUAUCCAAAAUAUGAAGAAAGUUCAAGCAUAGACAACAUAUUUUUAAGAAGUCAUAUAUGUAAUAGAUAGGUAAGUAUUUAAGUACGCAAACAUUUCAUGCACCAUAAGAAAUAAGAACUCUGGUAUUAUGGAAGCACCUGGCUUGUGGCUGCAGUAUAAAUCUUUUCCUCAAACCUUACAGCAAUUUUACUGAGUUCCUGUAAUCCAUCUUGUCCGGAGAAGGGAAGAUGCCUCUUCAACGUAUCCAUUCUAUACAUGCAAUAAAACCAACAUCAGUUACUGACUACCAAAAUGGGGGUAGCGUUCAUAAUAGCAAAGCUGGAUUAGACUACCGCUUGAAACAAAAAAAGUUCAACAAAGAAAAACACUUACAUCUUGUUGACAAUUCUUUGCCUCGAAUCAGCCUGCAGCUGACUCCUCCAAUCGCCGGCAUCCAUGGCAGCCUCUCCAACUUGAGAAGGCCUCCACUUAUUGGUAUCCAUCAAAUCCAAUCAACCCAACAAAACUGCCAAAAACAAAAGUACAGGACUGAGCAACUUCAACGAAAGCCUACGAAAAGGGCACAAAAAAUUCGUACAAGAGCUAGCUAUUCGGACAACGAUACAGUUUACAAUUACGCAGGCAUUUUUUUUGCAUCAGAAAUUGCAUUCAUUCAAGCUGAUUCUAAACACGAUUUAGGCGCCAUGAAAAAUCAGAACUUGCAAUUCAUACAACCGAAAACCAGAUACGAUUUACACAAUCAGAUCACAAAAACACCAACAAUAACGAAUUUUCCACAAAACCCACGAUCGAUCAACAUCUAAAACAAAAAACCCAACAAAAAUUGACCAAAAAGUUACCUCUUUUCUUUCAGAACAGGAGAGUUGAAGAUUUAAAGGUUCAGGUUGCCUGGAGUCAAACAAUGGAGAAAUCGCAGAACAGGGAAAUCGGGGGAUUGGGAAAGGAAGGAGGGUUCUUGCUCAAAAGCUUCAAACUUUGACAAGAUUUAAUGGAUUGAUGCGUUAGUAGUAGGAAGGGAGAGACAACGAAAUAUCCUGUUUUAACCAAUGUCUGAUUUUUUUUUUAGGUUUUUUUUUUUAAAUUUGAAUUUUUUAGGGACAAAAAGACAAUAAAACCAUUGUCCUUAGGAAUUUAUAAGUUGCCACUUACCACUUUAUCCUAAUCCUAGGCUUUCUUGUCAAAUCCCAAUUGGAUAGGAAUAUUUCCAACUGAGUCAAAAGAACAAAGUAGUCUUAUUUAUAACUAGCUUCUUGGUACGCGUUCAAAUGCGCGAAUUAACUUUUAAACGUCAAUUAAUGUAUUAGCAUUUCAUUAGUUUUAUGUCUUAUAUCAUCACUUUGAAACUUAUUUAUUUGUACACUAAAUAAGAAACUGCUAUAUAUAGUUGGUGUAAUAAGUUUGUGUCUUUAGCAUUAUUGAUGUAAAUAGACUGAUUUUCUUAUAUUUUUUUUAUUUUAAAUUUAUUAGUUAUAUAACUUUACACUUUAUUGCUUUUCAAUGAAGACAGAACAAGGAGGAGAUCAAUUAUUCCUCAAUUAAUCUACUUCAUUAUUCCUCAAUUAAUCUGCUUCUUGACCAUUUUGGUAUUAGAUUCCAUAUAGUAAAGCGUCAUGUAACUUUCAUUUUCAUGUGUUAAUAAAUGUAAGAAUCUAAAUGAUUUUGCAUGUGAUUGGCAUGAAAUCCAAAUGUGCUCUUUAGUUCAAUAUAACAACCUCUUGUCCCGCGAGAUUUUGAAACCAUUACCUCCUCCGACGAAAUGGAGAUCAAAAAACCAUUAGUACAAAGGUAGAAUACAACCAAACUCUAGGUAUAGCAAUUUUUGUUCUCUCUAACAAAAGCUAAUACAUGCAGAUGACACUUUACCAUAGUGACGAAAAACAAUUAUGUCUACGCACCCCAACCAACCUCCUCACCCCUAACAAAAGCCAAUACAUUGAUAUCGUCUACCCUUCUAAAGUCAUCACAUUUUUAUUCAGAGAAUGGAGGAGAGAAGCUGAAGUAGCGUAUGAGGCCAUGAGAACAUGGAAAUUCAGACCAAAGGAGCAUAAAAACCAUAUGGAAAAGAUGAUGAUGCAUGUGGAACAAUUGACAAACUUGAUAGAAAAGAUGUGAUGCGCAAACACGACGCCUUUUCAGGUUGGAGGGGGCCUUUGUGGUCUGAGCGAGAGAGAGAGAGAGAGAGAGAGAGAGAGAGCUCCUCUAAUUCAAUCAUAUAAAAGUAAAACUGAUGAUAAAUCAUUCCAAACACACAAAUAACGUUAUAAAAAUGCAGUCUCUUUAAUUAAUUAUUGACAAAUAGCUUGAAAUCUUUCAAAAUGCGGUCCAUUCAUUUUGCGGUUGCGGUUGUGAUUUCUUCGUUUUGUUGAAGCUCGCCAGCCUCUCAACAACGGUGCAAUCCACUUUACAUAUGAGGAGGUGGGGGGAGCUGCCCUUGUUGCAGAGGAGGACCUUGCUUCCUCGGUCUAUUUGUAUUAAUAAAAUUUACUAUCUGCUUCUCAUAUAAACCCAACUUGUCUUUCAAUCCAGGUGAAAUGUUACUCUUGGAAACCUGUAAGAUUGAUAUGAGGCGCUCUAACAUGGUUCUGAACAUUUUUAGCUUCUCAAGCUGCUCUGACUUUGGUUGUUGUGGAAGAGAAUCGUGCUGGCAAACAGAAAGACCAGACAUCAGUAAGCAAAAGAAUGGCAAUAUAAGGAGUAACAACUUUGUUGCGAAAUCUUAUUAGCAUUAUUGGUGAGGUAACAAUCCCAAGUAGACAGUCUACAUGGGUACAAUAAUUAAAAGGGAGAUCAAGGUAGAAUCUAUCAAAGAGCAGCACCACAAUAACCUAGCAGGGAAAGCCCUGCUUAUUGCUAAAAGUUCAAGCAACAAAUUAUGAGAGAAGAAAAAAUUGAAUUGAUUACAUACCUGCUGAAGUUUAGUAGCAAUUUUCUGAUACAUUUCACUUAGUUCGGGUUCGUACCUUUCCUUCAUGACUUUGAUCUGCAAAUGAAAGUUAUAAAUACAAAGAUGAUUAGAAAGAACUUUGCUGCAGCUACAUGCUUGCCGAUACUCAUGAAUUCAGACAGCAUGAAUUCAUGUAUGCUUGUAUCUAAUGAAGCAAGUUUUAAUUAACUCCCAACCGAUGGUAGCUUAACAAAGCUGCCCCACAAGGAAUCUUAACUAGCAUGUAAUUCUUCAAAAUCCCCAUUCAAGGCAAUUUUGGCAUUAGUAUAAUUAUUUUCCAGUAGCUCUAUUCCCACCCCCACGCCAAAUAAUUUGUAUUUUUUAUCUUUAGAUGUUGUAUGUGAAAGCCAUCAAAUGGACAAGAAGUCAGGACAUCUUACUUUUUGAUAGACCUCCUCUUGCCAAUCACCCCCAUUUGCAUAUCCAGUCUGAGCUGAGGAAUCUAGAAAAGCUACAAAAUAUAGAGAGAUAUAUAUGUCAAUGUUUGCACAUAAAAUGAAAUUUGAACACAAGGGUUAAAAAUGAGAAAGAAAAAAAAUAAGCAUUGCAUGCAAAACAUUGAUAUGGAAAAUUAUCCUUCCCAAACAGUUGAGGUGCAAUUUUGCUCCUACUUUCUGCUUAUGACGGUAAUUACUUUUUUAUGGGAAGACAUCAGGUGCAAUUUUGCCCUUGAUUGGGGUCUUGGGGUUGCAUACCUUGAUUGGGGACCUGGGGUUGCAUACCGAAAGACCCUUCUCAAGUAAAUAGCAAGAAUAAACACCAUACAAACAAGCGUCAAAACAAGAAAACAAUAAAUGUCAUUUGUACUCAUCAUUUGAUCCAUUAAAUACGAGCGAAUAAAGAUAUCAAGAACGAAUCAUCUCAGUUAAGAAAUGCGGGAGUAAUUAAGAAAAAGAACGAACAUUUCUCGCAACAGAUCAACCAUCAAGAAGAAAGGUAGCCAAGAGAGAAAAGGGCAGUUUUCAAUAGUUGUUUUUACUGUUACCAGCAGAGUUAGAUUGUAAAGGAUUGCCCAUUGAAUUCUGAGACUUGGUCUCCAGUGUGAGCAUCUUCAGAGAAAUUUUCCGUAGAUAAUCCGACUACAAAAUAAAAAAAUCCAUGCUAAAUUUAGAAUACAGUUCUAUCCAAAAUAUGAAGAAAGUUCAAACAUAUACAACAUUUUUUUAAGAAGUCAUAUAUGUAAUAGAUAGGCAAGUAUUUAAGUACACAAACAUUUCAUGCACCAUAAGAAAUAAGAACUCUGGUAUUAUGGAAGCACCUGGCUUGUGGCUGCAGUAUAAAUCUUUUCCUCAAACCUUACAGCAAUUUUACUGAGUUCCUGUAAUCCAUCUUGUCCGGAGAAGGGAAAAUGCCUCUUCAACGUAUCCAUUCUAUACAGGCAAUAAAAUCAACAUCAGUUACUGACUACCAAUAUGUUCUAAGUUUGAAGUCCUCUCGCCAUAGUUUAGAUUAGAUUACGCUAAAUUAGACUACCGCUUGAAACAAAAAAAAAAAUGGACAAAGAAAAACACUUGCAGAUUGUUGACAAUUCUUUGCCUUGAAUCAGCCUGCAGCUGACUCCUCCAAUCGCCGGCAUCCAUGGCGGCCUCUCCAACUUGAGAAGGCCUCCACUUAUUGGUAUCCAUCAAAUCCAAUCAACCCAACAAAACUGCCAAAAACAAAAGCACAGGACUGAGCAACUUCAACGAAAACCUACGAAAACGGCACAAAAAUUCGUACAAGAGCUAGCUAUUCGAACGACGAUACAGUUUAUAAUUACGCAGGCAGUUUUUUUGCUUCAGAAUUUGCAUUCAUUCAAGCUGAUUCUAAACACGGUUUAGGCGCCAUGAAAAAUCAAAACUUGCAAUUCACAUACAAUCGAAAACCAGAUACGAUUUACACAAUCAGAUCAAAAAAAAAAAAACAUUAACGAAUUUCCCACAAAACCCACGAUCGACCAACAUCUAAAACAAAAAACCCAACAAAAUUUGACCAAAAAGUUACCUCUUUUGUUUCAGAACAGGAGAGUUGAAGAUUGAAAGGUUCAGGUAGCCUGGAGUGAAACAAUGGAGAAAUUGCAGAACUGGGAAAUCGGGGGAUUGGGAAAGGAAGGAGGGUUCUUGCUCAAAAGCUUCAAACUUUGACAAGAUUGAAUGGAUUGAUGCGUCCGAUGUGGUCUUUUUAGUUAAGUAGGAAGGGAGAGACAACAAAUAUCCUAUUUUAACAAAUGUCUGAUUUUUUAGGUUUUUUUUUUUUUUUUAUAGAAAACCUAAUGAAAAGCGUUUGAAAUGUUUUAGUUUUAAUAAAAAAUCAUGUUAUAAGUUUUGUUUAAUGAUUAGUAUAAGACUCAUAUUAAAGUAGUCUAACUAAAAAUUGUCUAACUAUAAUAACUUAUUAUUUGUCGAUUUUACCCUUAACUUUUUUAGGUUGACUUCCAGAUUUUCGUCGUUAAUGAAGUUCAUCGUUGUUUUGCAGACCUUCUUCUUUUUCUUUGAAACAAAAAUAUAGAUCCUCAUGCAAGUUAAUUUAUAUUUUGUAUUAUUUUGUUGAAACGUGAUCGUUGUUAUUAUUCAUAAAGUAUUCGAAAUACUGUUUUUCAAUUUUUCUUCGUUAGUGGAGUUCAUCGUUUGUUUUUCCAGAAAACAAAUUUGAGAUCUGCACGUUAUUCAAUAAUAACGAUGGGUCACUGUUUCUAGACUGUAAAAAUAAACUGUUUCUGGAUUUUAAGUAACACUGUUUCUGAAAUCUAAGUCACUGUUUCUGGAUCUAAAUGAAAUAGACACAUUGUUUCUUAAAUGUAAGCUAGAAAAGAAAUAGUGAAAUUCAUUGUAUUUGGAUUCAAAGAAAAAUAAGCAUCAUGUUUCUUAAAUAUAAUCAACUGAUGCAUGAAAGAAAAGAAACAAUCAAAGGUUAAAAUAUAGACUGUUUUCAAAAAUAGUGUUAUGUUUUGGGUUCUCCAGAAACAUUUUUAUGUUUUGGUUUUUUUUUUUCCUAUUUACAGACGCCUGACAUGUACGUACAUCACCGGGACCGUAGGUCCAUAUUGGAUCUAAUUGGAAUAAAAUACUAACACUAUAAAUUGUUCGUGGUGCUAAUAAGAGAAUGAGGAUGAGGACGUUGACGUUGACGAGGACGAGGAGGAUAAGGGCACGAAAAAGGUAGACAAUAGUUUUGGAUGAUUUUUUAUUAAACUUUGAGCCCUUUUGGUUAAAUAAUAUUUUAGGUUGAUUUUUGGUUAAAUAUUUGUUGGCCCAAAUCCUUUUCAUUAAAGCUCCAUUUGUUUAUUUAUGUUUGAAAUUUGAAUUUUUAGGGACAAAAUGACGAUAAAACCAUUGUCAUUAGGACGUUAUAAGUUGCCACUUACCACUUUAUCCUAAUCCUUCUAGGCUUUCUAGUCAAAUCCCAAUAGGAUAGGAAUAUUUCCGACUGUGUCAAAAGAACAAUGUAGUCUUCUUUAUAACUAGCAUCUCGGUACGCGCUCAAAUGCGCGAAUUGACUUUUAAACACCAAUUAAUGUGUUGGCAUUUCAUUAGUUUUAUGUUUUAUAUCAUCACUUUGAAACUUAUUUAUUUGUACUAAAUAAGAAAUUGCUAUAUAUAGUUGGUGUAAUAAGUUUGUGUCUCUAACAUUAUUGAUGUAAAUAGACUGAUUUUCUUAUAUUAUUUUUAAUUUUAAAUUUAUUAAUUAUAUAACUUUACACUUUAUUGCUUUUCAAAGAAGACAGAACAAGGAGGAGAUCAAUUAUUCCUCAUUUAAUCUACUUCUUGACCUUUUUGGUAUUAAAUUGCAUAUAGUAAGCAUCACGUAACUUUUAUUUUCAUGUGUUAAUAAAUGUAAGAAUCAAAUGAUUUCACAUGUGAGUAAAUACAUGUGGUUGGCAUGAAAUCUUCAAUAAAACCUCUUGUCCCAUGAGAUUUUGAAACCAUUACCUCAUCCGACGAAAUGGAGAUCAAAAAACCAUUAGUACAAAGGUAGAAUACAACCAAACUCUAGGUAUAGCAAUUUUUUUUCUAUCUAACAAAAGCCAAUACAUGCAGAUGACGUUUUAUCAUAAUGACAAAAAGCAAUUAUGUCUAUGCACCCCAACCAACCUCCUCACCCCUAACAAAAGCCAAUACAUGCAGAUGACGUUUUAUCAUAAUGACGAAAAGCAAUUAUGUCUAUCCUCUACCCUUAUAAAGUCAUCACAUUUUUAUUCAGAGAAUGGAGGAGAGAAGCUGAAGUAGUAGCAUAUGAGGCCAUGAGAACAUGGAAAUUCAGACCAAAGAAGCAUAAAAACCAUAUGGCAAAGAUGAUGAUGCAUCUGGAACAAUUGACAAACUCGAUAGAAAAGAUGUGAUGCGCAAACACAACGCCCUUUCAGGUUGGAGGGGCCUCUGUGGUCUGAUACUUGGUCUCCAUUGUGAAGUCACGGCCCAGGAUUAUGGAAGUACCUGGAUUGUGGCUGCAGUAUACUAAUACGAGGGGGAGAGAGACAGAGAGAGACACAGAGAGAGAGAGAGGGACAGCUCCUCUAAUUCAACCAUAUAAAAGUAAAACUGAUGAUAAAUCAUUCCCAUAGUCAUACAAUAAAAGUAAAUAAGCAUUUCUACUGUUCCAAACACACAAACAACGUCAAAAAAAAUGCAGUCUCUUUAAUUAAUUUAUUGGCAAAUAGCUAGAAAUCUUUCAAAAUGCGGUCCAUUCAUUUUGCAGUUGCGCUUGCGGUUUCUUCGUUUUGUUGAACCUCGCCAGCAUCUCUACAAUGGUGCAAUCCACUUUACAAUGCACUGUGCAGUGCCCAUUGCACUUCCCUUUCCACUGCCCUGGCAUUAUCAGCAGAAUCCGCCUAUGUUUGACAAUACUUUUCCGCGUAGUACGUUGCAAAUGAUAUAAAUUAUUCCAGCGUCACAUCCUUCUUGCCCUUGUUUCUUCUUCUAGCAGCAGCAGUGGCGGGAGUAGCAGCACCACAAUGAUGACAACGCCCAGCCUUCCACCUCACAGCAGCAAACAGAUGCACUCAAUGCAUCUGAGCCAAUGUCACUGACAGAUGCACUCAAUGCAUUAGGUGACAUCGAUUUCAGUACUCAAAAAGAGAAAUAUGUAAUAAGAACCACUUUACUAACCGCCUUAAUCAAGCGUUCAAGAGGCUGCUCGGUAACACUCGACUUGCCAAAAAUAAUUGACAAAGCAUUAACAUGAGUAGCAUCUGGUACACUAAAUUCAGCAAGCAAAGGAGAUGCUGAUAUCCCAGCGGUGCCAAAUGCAAGGGACUGGACUGGUGCUCCCACCCCAGCUACUUGUUGAUGUCCGAUAUUCCCAGCAUUUGGUAGUGAGGAAGGUUUCUCAAAAUCCCCUGCCAUGGGGGAUGGAGCCAUGGGAGUUGAAGGAGAUGGCAUGACAACAGGUGAACUGGCAGUUUGCAAUGGUGUUCCAGCUUUCGGGUGAGUCGGUAGAUUCUGCUGGUCAACUUGGGGAGAAGAAUGUUGCGAAAUUUUAGGAGAUGCAGCCUGAAGGAGUUGGUUUGAUGAUGGAAUAGGAAAUGGAGAUCCUGAUUUCAACUGCUGAUGCGGAUAAGCAUGCUGGCCUGUGGAUAUAUGUUGCUGAAAAACCCCUGGCUUAACACCCAUCCCCUGUCUCAUCUUCAAGUCAUUUUCAUCAUUCAUUUGAUGAAGCUGUGGCAUUUGGUGUUGGUUCGCCUCCAUCUGCGCUGGAAGCUGCUGCUUUGCUUGCUGCAACUGUUGCUGCUGUUGCUGUUGCAGGUAUCUGCUGCUUCUGUAUAAAUUGCUGCUGCAUUUGCUGUUGAUUCUGUUGCUUCAGCUGAUUCUGAAACAUUUGCUGUUCUUGCUGUUUCAAUUGCUGGUGUUGAAGCAUACCAGAAUUUGACUGAAGGGAGUUAAUAAUUUGGCUGAAGCAUACUAACCCCACUCUGCGAUGACAAACCAUUCAUGUUAGCUUGAUGGGAAGCACUGACAGGAGUUUGUUGGAUAGAUCCCACUGGAACUUGCUGCAAAGAGUUCAGUGCAUUUCCCUGUCCUGAAUCCAAAUUUGUACUCAGCUGCAAUGAAUUCAUCAUGUUCUGCUGUGCUGUUGAAACCCCAGAUAUCGAACACAUUGAAUUUUGCUCCAAGCUUGUCAUAUUGUUCUGCUGCAUUGUUGGCACAGAACCUUGUAAAUUCAUUGUUUGCAACUGCGGGUUCAUUUGAUUUUCAUGAGACUGCACUUGACGAAUUUGAGACUGCGGCUGCUGCAUAGAGUGCAUAUGAGGUGGGGGGAGCUGCCCUUGUUGCAGAGGACGACCUUGCUUCCUCAGUCUAUUUGCAUUUCUAAAAUUUACCAUCUGCUUCUCAUAUAAACCCAACUUGUCUUUCAAACCAGGUGAAAUGCUACUCUUGGAAAUCUGUAAGACUGAUAUGAGGCGCUCUAACAUGGAUUUGAACAUUUUUAGCUUCUCAAGCUUCUCUGACUUUGGUUGUUGUGGAAGAGCAUCCGUGCUGGCAAACAGAAAGAACAGACGUCAGUAAGCAAAAGAAUGGCAACAUACGGAGUAACAACUUUGUUGCGAAAUCUUAUUAGCAUUAUUGGUGAGGUAACAAUCCCAUGUAGACGGUCUACAUGGGUACAAUAAUUAAUAGGGAGAUCAAGGUAGAAUCUAUCAAAGAGCAGCACCACAAUAACCUUGCAGGGAAAGCCCUGCUUAUUGCUAAAAGUUCAAGCAACAAAUUAUGAGAGAAGAAAAAAUUGAAUUGAUUACAUACCUUCUGAACUUUAGUAGCAAUUACCUGAUACAUUUCACUUAGUUCGGGUAAGUACCCUUCCUUCAUGACUUUGAUCUGCAAAUGAAAGUUAUAAAUACAAAGAAGAUUAGAAAGAACUUUGCUGCAGCUACAUGAUUGCCGACACCAUCAUAACAUCAAUGCCAAUGGAAAAGAGCCCGUGCAUGCAACCAUGAAUUCAGACAACAUGAAUUUCAUGUAUGCUUGUAUCUAAUGAAGCAAGUUUUAAUUAACUCCCAACCGAUGGUAGCUUAACAAAGCUGCCCCACAAGGAAUCUUAACUAGCAUGUAAUUCUUCAAAAUCCCCAUUCAAGGCAAUUUUGGCAUUAGUAUAAUUAUUUUCCAGUAAUAUGCAUUUUUAUAUUUAGAUGUUGUAUGUGAAAGCCAUCAAAUGGACAAGAAGUCAGGACAUCUUACUUUUUGAUAGACCUCCUCUUGCCAAUCACCCCCACUUGCAUAUCCAGUCUGAGCUGAGGAAUCUAGAGAAGCUACAAAAUAUAGAGAGAUAUAUAUGUCAAUGUUUGCACAUAAAAUGAAAUUUGAACGCGAGGGUUAAAAAUGAGAAAGAAAAAAAAAAAGCAUUGCAUGCAGAACAUUGAUCAGGGGGCCCGUUGCUCUUACCAGCAGAGUUAGAUUGUAAAGGAUUGCCCAUUGAAUUCUGAGACUUGGUCUCCAUUGUGAGCAUCUUCAGAGAAAUUUCCCGUAGAUAAUCCGACUACAAAAACAAAAAAAAUCCAUGGUAAACUUAGAAUACAGUUCUAUCCAAAACAUGAAGAAAGUUCAAACAUAGACAACAUUUUUUAAAAGUCAUAUAUGAAAUAGAUAGGUAAGUAUUAAGUACGCAAACAUUUCAUGCACCAUAUGAAAUAAGAACUCCGGAAUUAUGGAAGAACCUGGCUUGUGGCUGCAGUAUAAAUCUCUUCCUCUAAACCUUACAGCAAUUUCACUGAGUUCCUGUAAUCCAUCUUGUCCGGAGAAGGGAAGAUGCCUCUUCAACGUAUCCAUUCUAUACAUGCAAUAAAAUCAACAUCAGUUACUGACUACCAAUAUGUUUUAAGUUUGAAGUCCUCUCGCCAUAGUUUAGAUUAGAUUACGCUAGAUUAGACUACCGCUUGAAACAAAAAUAAAAAAUCGACAAAGAAAAACACUUGCAUCUUGUUGACAAUUCUUUGCCUUGAAUCAGCCUGCAGCCGACUCCUCCAAUCGCCGGCAUCCAUGGCGGCCUCUCCAACUUGAGAAGGCCUCCACAGCGGCUGCUGCUGCUGUUGGGGUAAAAUUGGCUGUUGUGCCAUUGGUGUUUGUUGUUGAUGAACAGCUACCUGUUGAGGCUGCUGUUGCUGCCGGAGAACUGGCUGUGAAUGCUGCUGAAGCAUGGGUUGUGAUGACUGUUGCAUAGCAGAUUGUUGAUUCUGCUGAAGACUCAAGAGAAAUGAUUGCACCGAAAGCUGCAUAAAGGAUGAUGUUGGCAUAACAGAUUGCUGGGAAGACUGCAACUGAGUCGGUUGUAAAAGGUUCUGCUGCUGUUGCUGUUGCACAAGUUGUGGCAUAUUUCCCUGCUGAUAUUUUGGCUUCAAAAGCGAAUGUUGCAUCUGUUGAUGGUACAUAUACUGCUGGGAAUUCUGGGAAUUCUGGGAUUGCUGCGGCUGCUGCUGUUGGGGAGCUACCUGUUGCCUUCCUGGCAUUUGCCUUUGAGAAUUAGCAAAGACAUUGGAGGGUACCCCCUGGCCCAUGGAAUUCCCUAAUGAAUUCUGUGAACUUCCGGACAUAUUUUGCAUGUUUGGGUUUUGUCCAACAAUACUUGGGAUAGGAGUCUGGGUUAAACCGGAAGAAGGAGGUAGUGCAGAUGAUAAGUCAGACGAACUUUGAACUCCAGCAGGUGGAAUGUUAUUCUGAAUGCUCUGUGAUAAAAGUGGUUGGCGUCCUUGAGAUUGAUUAGCUGGUAACGGCAUAGAGAGUGAUUGCCCAUGAUUGGGGACUUGGGGUUGCAUACCAAAAGACCCUAUUCAAGUAAAAUAGCAAGAAUAAAUACCACAUAAGCAAGCAUCAAAACAAGAAUACAAUAAAUGUCAUUUGUACUCAUCAUUUGACCCAUUAAAUACAAGUGAAUAAAGAUAUCAAGUACGAAUCAUCUCAGUUAAGAAAUGCAGGAAUAAUUAAGAAAAAGAAAGAACGUUUCAAUAGUUGUUUUUACCUGGAUCAGGGGGCCUGUUGCUCUUACCAGCAGAGUUAGAUUGUAAAGGAUUGCCCAUUGAAUUCUGAUACUUGGUCUCCAUUGUGAGCAUCCUCAGAGAAAUUUUCCGUAGAUAAUCCGACUACAAAAACAAAAAAAAUCCAUGCUAAACUUAGAUUACAGUUCUAUCCAAAAUAUGAAGAAAGUUCAAACAUAGACAACAUUAUUUUAAGAAAUCAUAUAUGUAGUAGAUAGGUAAGAACUCUGGUAUUAUGGAAGCACCUGGCUUGUGGCUGCAGUAUAAAUCUUUUCCUCAAACCUUACAACAAUUUUACUGAGUUCCCGCAAUCCAUCUUGUCCGAAGAAGGGAAGAUGCCUCUUCAAUGUAUCCAUUCUAUACAUGCAAUAAAACCAACAUCAGUUACUCAAAACGGGGGUGGCAUUCAUAAUAGCAAAACUGGAUUCGUAUACAAUCCACUAAAAUAUGUUUUAAGUUUGAAUCCCUCUCACCAUAGUUUAGAUUAGAUUACGCUAAAUUAGACUACCGCUUGAAACAAAAAAAAAUCGAAAAAGUAAAACACUUACAUCUUGUUGACAAUUCUUUGCCUCGAAUCAGCCUGCAGCUGACUCCUCCAAUCGCCGGCAUCCAUGGCGGCCUCUCCAACUUGAGAAGGCCUCCACUUAUUGGUAUCCAUCAAAUCCAAUCAAACCAACAAAACUGCCAAAAACAAAAGCACAGGACUGAGCAACUUCAACGAAAACCUACGAAAACGGCACAAAAAAUUCGUACAAGAGCUAUUCGGACGACGAUACAGUUUAUAAUUACGCAGGCAAUUUUUUUCAUCAGAAAUUGCAUUCAUUCAAGCUGAUUCUAAACACGAUUUAGGCGCCAUGAAAAAUCAAAACUUGCAAUUCACAUACAACCGAAAACCCGAUACGAUUUACACAAUCAGAUCACAAAAACACCAACAAUAACGAAUUUCCCACAAAACCCACGAUCGUUCAACAUCUAAAACAAAAAAACCAAAAAAAAUGUCCAAAAAGUUACCUCUUUUCUUUCAGAACAGGAGAGUUGAAGAUUGAAAGGUUCAGGCAGCCUGGAGUGAAACAAUGGAGAAAUUGCAGAACUGGGAAAUCGGGGGAUUGGGAAAGGAAGGAGGGUUCUUGCUCAAAAGCUUCAAACUUUGAGAAGAUUGAAUGGAUUGACGCGUCCGGACGGGAUAUUUGGAAAAAUAUAAAAUUAUGAUCAUCCUUUUAAAUUUAUGCACAGUACUCCUUAGUAUAACCGUCGAAUAGUAUCAAUUGGACCUUAGAAAGAAUCCCUUUGAUGCUACGAAGAUCUUCUAAAAUCUUCUGCCACUGUAGUGGCUUAAGUCGGAGUACAACAUCGAAUAACCGUGUCAUGAUACAACGAUUACUUUGCAGAGUUUUGUAGACAUGCAAGAAUGAAAACCUCGUUCUUUUUGCUUUACGAAGUUCCCACUGUAAGAAGAGUUACCAAACUCAUCUCGUGUUACAUGUCGCGGGGUUUGCUCCACGCCCCACGUUGUUGUAGAUAACAAACGUGUUAUCCGAUGGACGCUACAGACUCAUCCACAGGGUACUUCAUCAUGCAAGAUCCUAGAAUGGCACUUAGUUGGUUACUAAGGCGUCGUCCUGGUGAGUCUACCAAACCCACAAUUUGAUAUAAAAGUAAUAAAAUACCCUUAAUGACUAAAAACUUGUUCAUUAGCUUAACUGAGAAAUUUGGAAAAGCGACCAUAUUUUAGAUCCCAUAUAGAAUUAUAGCCAUUAUUUUAGUUUUACGAUAAUUUUAACCAAAACUUGAUAUAAAAGUACUAAUAUACCAUUAAUGACAAAAAAAUUCCCCAUUUCUCUUAACCAUGAAAAAAUAACAAUUAAUUGAGAUCUUGAAGCAUAAAAGAGGUAGCCUCUUGAAUACUACCCAGUACCCUUACUCUCGAACCCCUCCAUUUCCUACACACUUUUUUAAUCAAUAUAUAUAUGUAUGUAUGUAUAUAGAUAUAGAGUAGAUAUUGAUAUUCAAACGUAAUCAAAGAGCAUAAAAAAUGAAGAUAACCUAGUAAACUAAACAUAAAACCAUGAGAAAUCAGCAAAGGGUGCUCUUUGGUUUAAGGUGAGAGACUAGAUGGUUGAGAGAGAGUUUAAAGGAAGUUUUGUUUUUGUUGUGAGAAACCCCUAAUGCGGAUUAAUCAAGCAGGGUCAAGAUAAUCAGGUAGGUAGUGACCCCCAAUGCGGAUUAACCAAGCAGAGUCACACCUGUAGAACUGUUAGGCAAUGAUCACCCAACGCGAAUUAACCAAACAUGAUCACUCCUAAGUAUAAAUGGCCAUAAGGAUCGCCCAACGCGGAUUAACCAAGCGCAAUCCGUAUAUAGUAUGGUUCCCCAACGCGGAUUAACCAAGCAGAGCCACUAAUGACCCCCUAUCGCGAAUUAACCAAGCAGGGUCAUGGUCUCCUAUUAGCCCUCAAUUUAACAACCAUUCCAAUAUGCUAUUCAAUUCACUUUUUCAAAAAUAUUAUCAAUCCAAUUUACUUCACUUCAUGAUGAUUCACAACAUAAAUAUACUUCUCACAUAACUUUCUCAUUACUCAAAGAACUUAAGGAAUAAUGCAAUACCAAUGCAAAUCAUAAUUCUCAUUAAUGAGAUUUUUCAUAAUCAUCAUGGAAUUUUCACCACAACACAAUGCAAUUCAUAUAUGUAACUCAAAUGUAUAUGUGUCCAUAUAUCACAUGAAUGCAUCUUUACGCCCAAAAAAAUUAUGAAAUCAUGCAACCACAAUGCAUAUCGUAAUUCACGCAAACAAGACUCGAGAAGGUUGCAUAUCAUAGAGUAGGAUCAUUUGCUCUGAUACCAUUAAAGUUGUCACGCCCCGAUUCCAACAUACGUCCAAGAUCGAUACGUGACGUCCCUAAAUGCCCGUAACUCAACAUACCCCGCCUUUUGGAUAUGUACAAAAUAUAAUUCAACAUCCAGAUGCAUAAUAAUUUUGAGUAUACUUUAUGGCUGCAUCUAACCUCUUCGUUAAACUACCUACGUACCCUCAAUAGGGAUCAAGUCAUUCGUAGUUCCACAAUCGUCAACUCUAAUCUUUCCGUAAAAUACUUCUAACAGAAAAUCAUAAGGCACCAUAUUACACAUCAACCUUAUGUCAACAACAAUUAUCAUCUUUCAUACACGCAUGUAACCCAUUCUCACACAGAUACUUUCCAAUUCAUCCAUCAUAUAAAUCACUGUGUUUCACAUAAUACCGCAAAUCAUAGUAUGUAACAUAUCAAAUAACCAACGCAAUGUUAUUCUCAAGUCACAUUAAUCAAUUACUCUAAUCAUAAUAAUCUCAAUCAUACCCAACUUCAUUCCACAAUCACAUCAAUUAAUUAAUCAUGAAUCAAAGAUACAUGAUCUUAGCAUUUAAUUGUUUAAUCAAUGAAUGCAGUAACAUAUCAUUUCACAAAUUCUAAGGAACUCUAACAACUUCGAAGGAGUCACCCAGACAUCCAACGGUUCAUCUGGAACAAAUCACAACAGCUCAUAAUCAUAAUCUCAUACAACACCAUGAAAAGUGGGGCUAGAGCGACACAGUUCGGCCGAAGCCUACAUCUCUGAAGCUAUCUUGAUCCAAACUCAAUAAAACCCAAGGUGAACAUGAUCCCGGACCAUCUCUCAAUGGAAUCACGAAGUAGGAGGGAUUCCGAACCAACUCUUAAUGAAAUCCAAGUGGAUAUGAUUCCGGACCAUCACUUAACGGAAUCGCGGAGCACAAUGCAUAACCACCACUAAAUGAAACCCAAGUUAGAUAUGAUUCCGGAACAUCACUCAACGGAAUCGUAGAGUAGAAAGGAUUCCGGACCAUCACUCAACGAAAUCGCGAAGUAAAAGGGAUUCCGGACCAUCACGCAACAGAAUCCAAACCAGAAUAUGAUUCCGGAUCAUCACUCAACGGAAUCGCAGAGUAGAAUGUGUAACACCAAUCAAUAAAACAAGACAUGGAUCGAGUUACUCAAGGUACAAAGACUCAACGAAACGAGGAUGAAUAAUGACACGAGGGUUGAAACAUGUUUCGAAGGCAACAAACCCCAUAACAAUGGUUAAUGGUCCACUACUAGCCCUCGUAUUUCAUCACAUCAAUCCAAUCAUACAAUACAAACCAUAUUUCCAAUGCACAAGUCAAAUCAUACUUAAUGAAAAUAGAUCAAUGACCAAAAAUAAAAUAACACUUCAAUAGAAUUCACAUUUAAUUAACAUGGGUCUAUGGCAUAUAUAUAUAUAUAUAUAUAUAUAUAUAUAUAUAUAUAUAUAUAUAUAUAAUUCACAUUUCAAUAUGCAAUUCGAAUCAAUCUUCCACAAAUAAUACCCAUCCAUGAAUCAAAUCACAUUUAAUAAAAAUAGAUCGAUGGCCAAUUAUAAAAGAAUCACAUUUUAAUAGAAAACACAUUUAUAAAACCAUGUCAUAUCCACAAAUGAUAUUAAUACCACCACUCAAUUAGUAGUAAAGAAGAUUAGAAAGGAAUCUGGAAAGAAACUAGGUGUGGCAAAAACAGUACUCUGCUUCUCCACAAAAUUUGCAGAAAACAGCACCAUUGGACCAAGUUUAGGCUCCUUUUGGAACAUUCAAAACUAAACCAAAUCAUGUAAUAUUAUAUGGGUUUUGAAGCUUGUGUUCUGUACCUUAAAAGCAUACAAAGUUUGUAGAAAACGGAGCUCUAGAUUGGAAGUUAUGCCAAAAGAAAAACGGAGUCUUGAAACUGGACACCCAAUUUUCUGCUGCUGUUUGGCAGCUCGCGACCUAAGUUUAAAUAAGGUUUUGAUCAACCAAAACUCAACGGAUCUGAGUGAAAACAAUUGGGUUACGACCAUGAACAUAUGUACUUUCAACACACUAAAAAUUUUCUCCAAAGGAGUACAUAAAGGCCUAAAAAUUAAGAGCCAAAGAAGGCUACUCGAAACUUGAGUUUUCUUUGCAAAGAAAUCAAUUUUCUGCAGCUUACGUAACAGCCCACUUCCAAUUCAUAUAACAAAUCCCAAAAUACUUCCAGGUAGUCCAGAAGUCAUGUAUACAACAUCCAAAACUAACAUGACUCAAAAUUAACAAGAAAUUGACCUUUUGAACCAAACCCUUGAUCAAGAAAUUUGAUCUACACACCCAAUCCAAAAUACCCAACUCUAAUUCAUGUUUAGACUAGUUCAUUGAAUGAUAGAAACCCUAAAUAGAAUUAAGAACUCCAAUAUAUCAUGGCAAUUUCAAUUCAACUUAAGAAAGUUAAAUUUGAAAAUCAAGAUAAUGAAGUAACAAGGAAUUUACCCUUUAAAUCUCUGAAUCCUUCCUUCACAAUCACGUUCUCUAACUCCUUUCUCUCCAAUUUUUGCCUGAAGAAAGAAGGAUUUUCUUCCAACAGCUAUGGAAGAGCCACCUCCUCCCUGUUUCUUUUUCUUUCCUCGCAAAGCCAGGAAGAACGUGGAAGAACGUUCUUUUCCCCCUUCUCUUUUGCAACUCCCUUUUUUCCUUCUCUUUUUUUUUUUCCUUCUUCCCCCCGUUGGUCCCUCCUUUUCCUCCUCUGUUUCUUUUUUUAUUUUUUUUCUUUUCUUUUCCCUCUUUUUCUCGCCACUCUCAUGGCUUUCCUUUUCUUUUUUUCCUUCAGCCACUCCCUUGGCUUUUUCUUCUCUUUUCAAUUUUUUUUUUUGCAACAACUUCAAACGUCUGUAACUAUACCGUUAUAAUCCGAACUCGCAAACGGCUUUUGCCUAUGUGUUCGUGAUCUCGAUAUCUAUUCAACAAUAUAAAUUGUGACUUUGAAUGGUCUAAGGAUUUUAAAUAAUUAAUUUCCUGAAAAAUAAUAUAAAAUCUCUAUAAUACCAAUACGUGGAUUAUAAUAAUGAAAUCCAAGAACGAGAUUUCACACUUCCACAAAUGGGCAGGAAUGAUGACCGAGGAUCGUAUAUUAACACCCCCAAGGGACUGAUUCUGACCAACCGCCCAUUUAUAUCCGGAUUUAACUGAAUAAAUCCCCUUUUUAUCUAGGGGCCAAACCAAAUGAUCUCGCAACAAAGGGUCUCCAAUAUGCGUCCCAAGGAUAGCCUCGAACUCGGACCUCUCCAAGAAAGGUUUCAAAAAAUCAAUGUCCCACAUCCCAUUCUCUGGGCAAAUCAGCGAAUUUACCAACAAAUGAUUAGAAACCUGAACCGUACCAAAGGGAGAAGGUAUUCUCAAUGGAAUAGACGAGAUCCAUCUAUCAACCCACACCCUAACCUCAUUUCCACUCAUAAUCUGCCAAUGAGCUCCAUUGUAUAAUAUAUCCCUUCCAGUGAUGAGGCUAGACCGGGCCCAAGAGGCUCUCCCGCCCUUUUUAGCAUCCAUGAAAGAAUAAUUAGGGAAGUAUCCGGCCUUUAACACCAACGCCCACAAAGAAUUUAGCCCCUCAAUUAAUCUCCAACACUGCUUAGCCAACAGGGCAUCGUUGAACAUCUCAAAACUCCUUAGACCUAACCCACCCAUAUCCUUAGCCCACCCCAACUUCUCUCUAGACACUCAAUGAAUACGUUGCUCACCAUCUUUUUGCCUCCACCAGAACUUUGAUAUCAUGGCAUCCAACUCAUUGCAUAGGGAAGUAGGAAACUUGAAUAAGUUCAUAGGAUAUGCAGGGAUGGCUUGCACCACCGCCUUUAUGAGGACCUCCCGCCCCGCUUGAGAGAGAGCGGCUUUCUUCCAUCCCCAAAGUUUGCCCAAUAAUCUUUCUUUAACGUAUGAUAGCCCACUUUUUUUCAAACGACCCCAAAUAGCAGGAACCCCCAGGUAUAAACCUGGAUCUCCAACCCUCUCCAUACCCAGAAUGUUCGCCAAAUGAUGGGAUAAAGACUCAGGCACAUUGUUUCCAAAGAAAACGCUUGACUUAGACUUAUUAACUUUCUGACCCAACGCCAAGCAAUAAUCAUCAAUCAUUUUGGAUAAUUGCCGACAGUUCUCCUCCUCAGCUCUCAGGAAAAUCAGAGUAUCAUCAGCGAAGAAUAUAUGGGAUAUUGUCGGGCCAGGCUUGUUCAUUUGGACUCAUCUGAUCCAACCUCGAUCACUAGACUAUUGGAUACAAAGUGAUAACACUUCACUAACCAGUAAGAAGAGGUAAGGGGAAAACGGAUCUCCCUGCCUUAGCCCCUUUAAAGGCGCAAACUUGGGUCCGGGUUAACCAUUCAGAAUGAUUGCAAAAUUCACAGAAGAAAUUCAUCCAAGGAUCAAGCUUCUCCAUCUACUGUCAAACCCCAAUUUCUCCAUCACCGCCAUUAAAAAAUCUCAUUCCACCCGAUCAUAAGCCUUGUGCAUAUCCAAUUAAUGCCCAAUUCAAAUUUGCAUUUCAUUUUCCUCGUUUUAAGAAAAUGGAAUAAUUCAUGUGCAAUUCCAAAAUUGUCUUAGAUUUGCCUUCCUGCCACAAAGGCAUUUUGGGUAGGGGAAAUCAACUUCGGAAGAAUCAGUUUAAGGCGAUUUGCCAAAACCUUCGAGAGUACCUUAUAAGAGUAGUUGCAUAAACUAAUGGGCCGAAAUUGAGAAACGGCUUCCGGGUUUUGAACUUUCGGUAUCAGAACCAAAUGAGUAGCAUUGAUCCUCAUGGGAUUUUCCAAACCAUGCAUCAAAUCUCCAAUAAUUUCAUUCACAUCAGCAACAAGUAUGUCCCAAUGAGCCUGAUAGAAAAUCCCCGGGAAGCCAUCAGGGCCAGAAGCCUUCAACCCACCCAUCUGCAUAGCGGCAUCCUUCACUUCGUCAACCGAGACCGUACCCGAAAGGGUUGCAUUCAUAUCAUUGGUAACCUUUGGGGUCACACAAUCGAGGAUUUCUCCCCACUCCCGUUGCUUCGAUGACUUGAAUAACUCCGUAAAAUGCUCAUCCAUCAAACUCCUAAUUUGACUUGGGCUUUCAAUCCACUCUCCAUUGCUAUUUUUUAAAGUCACCACCUUGUUUCUUCGUCUUCUUUGAAGGGUAGACUGAUGAAAGAAUUUCGUGUUGGCAUCUCAUUCGUUUAGCCAAUGCACCUGGGACCUUUGUUGCCAGUAACACUCUUCCUGCCUCCAUAAUUGAUCAACAUUCUUGGAAAGAGACACAAUUUCCACCGCAUUCUCCCUCCAAUUCUAUUGGAGCCGACCCAAAUUAUCCAACAUCUCUUUAAUUUGCCUCCCACAAUUUCUGAAUUUUCCCAUGCUCUAGUUAAUUAAUUUGGCACGACAAUUAUUUAUCUUGUAAUUCCAUCUCUCUAUAGGGCUCCCCUCCCUGGAAUGAUUCCAUGCAUCUCUCACAAUAUCACUGCACUCCCCAUCCUUAGCCUAAAAGGCCUCAAAGCGAAACAUCUUUUUCGUUUUGUUAAUCUGAAGCUCACAUAUUACCACCACAAGACUAUGGUCAGAACCCAGAGUCGUUCCAAUUUUAACCGACGUAUUUGGCCAAAUAAAUUGCCAACAAGCAUUCACCAGCCCCUAUCUAGCCGAGCCUCCACCAACUGCCCAUUUCGAGUCCCAUUCCAAGUAAAUUUAGGGCCAUUAAACCCCAAAUCCAUAACCUCUACCUUGCACAUAAACUCUUCUAGGUAUCUAGGUCGGUUGUAUCUCACUUCCGCUCCCCCAGAUUUUUCAUGGUCCCAUAAGACUUCGUUAAAAUCCCCUCCACAAAUCCAGGAGGUAUUAUCCGGGCUGAAUUUCUGAAUCAUACCCUUCCAAAACUCCUCUUUCUCCGUCCUAUACGAUGUCGCGCAAACUUCGGUAAACCAAAAUCUAGCAUGUGAGUCAACCAACACACAUUUAGCAUCAAUGAAAUGCUUUGAAAAUUCCAUCACCUCCACUUGGACCGAGUCCUCCCACUAGAGGCUAAGGCUUCCAGCUCUCCCAAUUGGUGCUACAUCAAAACCAUUCGAGUACCUCAUACGUCUUCUUACUCAUAUUAUUCUAUGGUCUUUCAUUUUAGUUUCCGAAGGAAAAAUCAUAGAGGGUCUAUGUUCCCUUAUUUGCCCAUGUAAGUCACGAACCACCGUGUCCGACCCUAGACCACGACAGUUCCAAAAAGGUGUAUCAUGGCGAUCUUACGGGUGUAGAAGGUCAGCCGCCACCACAUCGGGAUGAAGAACCCGCUUUCUUUGACCUCAACGCCUCCUUCUCACCUUCAGGGAUCAUCUUCAUAUAAUCCCCUAUUUCCUGUUGUUCAAUCGGGACAUCCUGCAAGUUCUCCUCCAUAUGGACCGCCCUUUCCAUCAACAAGCAUCUGUCUCUGAUAAACAUCUUACCCAAUCUUUCAGCCGCUCUCUCUUCUCUUCCUCUUACUCUGCUUCUUUCUUCGCCAGUUUUCGUUUUCUUCUGAGAUAAUAAACCCUCAUUUGUACUUACCCUUUCCAAAUCCCUCUUACUCUUACUUCUUCCCCCUUCGUAUCAUGAGCCGAGUCACUUGCUAUUACUACUCUUUUCAUACUUGGAUCUCUUCUUUGAAAUUCCAUUGAGCAUUGACCUUGUUUAUGCAGCACCAUUAUUCCAUUCCCACUUGGUGAAGGGUUAGGUUCCACUAUUUCCUCUAUCACGACAGAUGGUAUUCUUCCAUAAUCAUUUGAAUCCACCCCCGGUUGAAAACCCACUACAAAGCGGUUCUGCCCCAUCAGCCUACAACCAUCCAUGAUCCAUUGGGCCGGGUUAGGAUACGGUUUCUCUCUUAUUCUAUGCACCAUGUGCCAUUUUUUCGAACUGUUUCCUAAUCCUUGCUGAGGUGUAGGUUGAUUGGGAGCCCCCCCACCAGAUGCACUUGAUUCAUUAUGAUCCCCAUUACCACCCUCACUUCGAUGCAUAUUCGUCACCCUUGGUCCCCCCUUUCUUGCUCUCGUACUUCUUUGCUCCCUCAUAUUGAUGACCACAUGUCUUGGCCUUUCAAUGAAAGCUCGCACUGGUGCCGCUUUUGUCCAUUCCUCAUACCCUGCCAUACCUCCCCUUACAGUUUCGAAAGUGCAUUCGUUGUUGGCAUGCCUGAUUCUCCCACAUCGAUAACAAAAAUCUUGAAGUCUUUCAUAUCUAACUUCAAUCCAAGUCUCACCUUUGUUUUCCCUCGGGAGCCAUCAACAUGUAAUAAGGGGCUUCGUAGUAUCUACAGCAACUUUGACUCUCAAAAAACCUCUAGCCUUUGUUGGAUCUUCAACUUCCUCCACUUGCCCAAUCUUAGACGCAAGGCACCUCACAUUUUCUUCUGAACUCAGAUUAAGCGGGAUACCCUUGAUUUGUAUCCAGAACGUGACUACAUCCACAUUGACUUCCUCCAAGGCUAAUUCCGGUGGCCAUUUUUUAACUGAAAAGUUCUGCUUCAUUACCCCCCAGGGAACCUGGUCAAUGAUCUUUGUGGCUGUGCUCUCAUCUAGAACAAUGAUGAUGAAAGUAUUGUCCUUAACCUACUUAAUUUCUAUCUCCCCCAUCUCUUUCCAUAAGGAUCUAAGAAUAGUUCGAACUCCCCAUUUGUUAAGGGUUUUCUUUACCAAAGUUGUACCCACCAGCUUUACACUUUCUUCCAUAGUAGAAAGCUCCAAUUUUUUCUCCAAGUGCACCACAAGUUCCUCCACUUCAGCCCCAACCAUCUGACUACUAAUUCGACAGGAAUCAUAGACAAAUUUGGACACAAUAUACAAUAGAUAGACAAUAGGGAUUAUACUCCAAAUCUUACUUUCUUUUUUCUUGGCUCUCUUGUUGACCUCCCAACCCUUUGACACCAAUUAAAAAUACCACAAACCAUACACAAAUUAACCAGUGUUUGUUUCCACCCAAAUGAACUUACCUCUUCAUUACUGUCCGGAUUUAAUGUUGCUGGGUAGUUGGCCAGGGCUCUAAAUGCAGGAUAAAACUGAGGAAGAUUUAGUUUUACUUUCUCGCCUGAUCUUGAUUGUCUGUAUUUAUGAUUAGGACCACCUUCAUGAAUGAUAGGACUCGAGUUCUGCUUCCUCAUUGGUUUCUACCCAGUAACUUCCUAUGAGUUAAAAUUUGAAAACGCAGGAAACCCACAUACCAGUUCGUCUACAGAGGUAUUUCAAUGGACGCUGCAGGACUCGUUGAAGUUUCUGAAGCUAUUUUGACACCAUUAGAAAAAGUUGUAAUCUAAGUUUUGCUUGGUUCAACAUAAUCAGGUACUGGAGGAGGGAGGUUAACACCUGGAAGCUGGGUUUCCAACGGAGGAAGAGCACUUGAGCUCUCCCCGGUCAGCCAGCUAAAGAGACCGCCUUAUCGGCAUUAGCCAUUAGAACUUCAUAGUGAUGCCCGAAAGCGAGUCUGAGCGGUCUGCCGCCCGUGUUGACCCAAUUCUCCACCGCAAACUCGGGAUUCUUCGACUUGUUCCUCUUGAUUCGCUUCAUCUACCCGUCUGCACAGCCAGUGUAAAUAAUCCCCGAUCUCUUAUCAUAAGCCACGUCCUCCGGCCCCGGCAGGACUCCAUACCCCACACGCUUAGCUCCUCGAAACAUGCAAGAGUUUUAAGCUGGGGCCUUCUUGAUUAAGUGCCGAGUCAACUCGCUAAACGGCACGGAGGCCGGGUCGAACGAGUCAAGUUGGUAGAUUAGGGUUGCAGCAAAAAUGGGGAUGAUCAAGAUUUGAAAUAGAGAAGUUGGAGCUGAGAGCCAUGAUGAUUUGGAGCUGGGUUUGGGUACAGAAACUGAGUCUGCUGAGUUCAUUGACUCGGGUAUGACGUUGAAUUGAAUUUGUGGUUUGGUUAUAAAUACUGAACAAACUGAUCAUCUGAGGCCUUGUUUUGGUGUUUCUGCAGAUUCACGGCGGAGGUGAAAAAUUGAGAGAGAACCGACAUAGCUUUUCGUGUCGAUUACCACAGACGGCGCCAAAUGUUGAUGCACAAAACCGAAGGUCUUGGAACAACGUAAAUCCGACCGUGAAUAUGCAAGAAAGUAAAUAACACAAGAUGUAUCGUGGUUCACCCCAAUUUUUGGGCUACGUCCACACUGAUAUUGUAUUUCUCCGUAAGAGCUUGAUUGUGAGGAUGAGAGCAUGAGAGAGCUUAGAGCUUAGGGGAUGUAAGGAGGCUUCAUGGCCUAAGAAUUGGCCUAAGAAUUGGUCUCUCUUAAUGAGGAGAGUGAAGAGUCAUUUUAUAGAAUAAGGGCUCCUCACUUAUUACAUAUUUGCCAUUUCCUUUAUUACAUAAUUACAUUUGAGUCCCCCGAGUAUUUAUACGAGAUCUAAAUACGGAGGCCCUAAGUAUGAUACAAACAGUAGUCCCCCAAGUCUUCAGUCAAGAGAGUAUUUUGGCUAGAGACUUGAAACUCAGUCCAUGUGUGGGCCGAAGUAACUAGAUGUUUUCUUGAACUGAUGCUCGAUAUGAGGCGAUGCUCAAUCUGAAAUGAUGCUCAACUAGAAGUAGCACAUGUUGCGAGGCUGCUCGGCUUGUGGCUUAUGUUGCCUUGGUUGGCUCAGCUUGUGGCGUCGAAAGUGUGGGAGUCCCUUUUAUAGAAUAAGGGAUCGCUCCGCAAUACAUAAGUGAUGGGUUAGGAGUGGUGCUUGCGGCGAAGAGGUUGCUCAGUAGGCGGCGAUGCUCUCUAAUGAAGAGGAAGAAGUCCCUUUUAUAAGGUAAGGGCUCGCUCCUCAGUACAUGAAUAAUGGGUGCUCUCUAAUGAAAGUGAGGGAGUCCCUUUUAUAAAAUAAGGGAUCGCUCCUCAAUACAUAAGUGAUGGGCUAGAGUCCCCCAAGUAUUUUUUAUGAGGCCCAAUAUAUGGUACAUAAUGUAAAUGUUGAUGCACAAAACCGGAGGUCUUGGAACAACGUAAAUCUGACCGUGAAUCUGCAAGAAAUUAAAUAACACAAGAUGUAUCGUGGUUCACCCCAAUGUUUGGGCUACGUCCACACUUAUAUUGUAUUUCUCUGUAAGAGCUUGAUUGUGAGGAUGAGAGCAUGAGAGAGCUUAGAGCUUAGGGAAUGUGAGGAGGCUUCAUGGCCUAGGAAUUGGCCUAAGAAUUGGCCUAAGAAUUGGCCUCCCUUAAUGAGGAGAGUGAGAAGUCCUUUUAUAGAAUAAGGGCUCCUCACUUAUUACAUAUUUGCCCAUUCCUUUAUUACAUAGUUACAUUUGAGUCCCCCGAGUAUUUAUACGAGAUCUAAAUACGGAGACCCUAAGUACGGUACAAACAUAUAAGUAUGAUAUCAAUGUACGCUAACAUUAAGUCAAGAAGUAUACCACAACACAGUAGCUCAACAGCAAUAUAAAUAAUCGUGUGCUUAAUAAUCCAUACUAGUACGCAAAUCGGAGUCACCUAUGGUGACCUGUACGACUGCACCCAUAUCUCAUCAAUCAAUGCUAGCACAUAAGUCGGAGUCACCUAUAGUGACCUGUACGACUCAUCCAUAUCUCAUCAAUCAAUGCUAGCUCAUAAGUCAGAGUCACCUAUAUUGACAUGUACGACUUAUCCAUAUCUCAUCAAUCAAUGCUAGCUCAUAAGUCGGAGUCACCUAUAGUGACUUGUACGACUUAUCCAUAUCUCAUCAGUCAAUGCUAGCUUAUAAGUUGGAGUCACCUAUAAUGACAUGUACGACUUAUCCAUAUCUCAUCAGUCAAUGUUAGCUCAUAAGUCGGAGUCACCUAUAGUGACAUGUACGACUUAUCUAUAUCUCAUCACAUAUCCUUGUAAUAUGUCGGCCGGAUCCACCUCUAGUGGCAUGUAUGGCUGAACCCAUAGCUCAUCACAUAUCCUUGUAAUAUGUCAGCCGGAUCCACCUCCAGUAGCCUGUACGGCUGAACCCAUAGCUCAUCACAUAUCCCUGCACACAAGUCGGAACCACCUACAGUGGUCUGUACAACAGGACUGGGUAUAAUUAAGUACGUUCAAGUACUACGAUCACGUGAAUACUGUGCGAAUAAUCGCGAGUCACCUACGAGUCGGAACCACCUAUAGUGGUUUGUACGACAGGACUGUGCACCUACCUUGGAUCCAAGGUGAACGUAAGGUGCGGGGGGGGUGAACAUCACGUGAAGGACUGUGCCCUGGCCACGGGCGGGAGCACUAACACCGGGAUGCAGGUUUAUGAGCUCUAACUGCAUCUAUUGUAACAUAUACGACUCAUAGGCAACCUGUACGACAGUGUCGGAGUUGCCUAUUAUAUACAUGUAGUCAUGCCAUAACUCCAUCAUUUCAACUAAUACUCUAAACUCACAUGAACUUACCUGGGUGUCCUGCGUUCAACUUUGCACUUCAAAGCGUUGACAACAAUUAUGUGCAAGUAAUAUACAUAUGGAUAUACCAUGAUGCAAUCUAAUACUCAACCAUGUCAUAGCAUUUUAUAUAUAAUAUGACAUAAAAUGCAUAAGUUAUAACGCCCUACUCCCGAACUAUUUAUUUUCGGGGAUAAUUAUCGGUGAUAAGCCCAAUUAGACACUAGUUUAAUUAACUAUCAUUACUUACGUUUCCUUACUUCAAUUUCUUGAUUCUUCACACAUUGAUUUAUGACCAACAUUUAACCACCAAUUCAUAAGGUUAAAUCUCACAUCUUCCACCAAUGUCUCUCACAUUAUUCAAUUCCUUAAACAAGGCUAGUCUCAAAGGUUUAGUCUCAUUUGUUGUAUGGCUGCAUCUAACGUCUCGUUAGACUGCCUACGUACCCUAAACAAGGAUCAAGUCAUUCGUAGUUCACAAUAAUUACCUCAAAGCAUUCACAGUAAUCGUAAGCAAUAAUCAAUUUAUAAAUGUUGGUGGAAUUAUCAAUCAUAUAAUAUAUAUACACACACACACACGAUAUAAAGGAAAAGACCCACUCACCUGAGGUCCGCGCUACGACUCCCUAGCACGCAUAUCGAGACAUCAUGAACCAUAGUUGCCUAUGACCAAUUAUCAAAUCACAUCUCAGAGUUCAUACCGAUAAAAUACACAAUUUACAUAAAACAUAUCCCUACGUAAUUCAAAUUGGAAGAUCUGCAACACAGAUUUCCGAUCUGUUACUUCCAAAGAUCCACAUUACACUUCUAGAACAACAUCUUAAAGUCUCAUUACGAUCCAACGGUCGGAUCUCCGCCAAUUGUCAAAACCAAGUGACGGUUAACCUUUUAUUUUAUGAACUUACAAAUCCAAUUCAGGAAUAUUCGUAUAUCGGAUUCCCGACCUGUAAGUUCCUAUGGUCCUCAAAUAUUACGUAUUAUAACGUAUUAAAGUUUGGUGAUGAUCCGACGGUCGGAUCGUCGAUUCAUACAAUGACCUAUUAACGUAACGUAGAGAAUUUAGAUUCCAACAAUCAACCUACGUCAUACAACUACCAAAAAUGAACUCAAGGCAUCUAAUUAGCCUAAUAAUAACAUCGGCGGCCCCCUGGCCACGCGCCGCUGUGGGUGGUGGUCGGCGCCCCGACUCGUCGAAAAAUCCAACUAUUUCAAAAAAUUACCAAAAUUGUAGGUCUCAAUGAGUGGAGCAACUUUAAUACCUGUGACCAAGGCCAAUUAGGCCGGGAACCUCAAUUUUACAUAAAUCCGUUGGAAACCCUAAAGAGGGUGUGCUUCGAUUCGACCUCCAUGCUCACUCCGACGCCUCCACAAGUGUUUGGGCUUUGUUCCUAAGGUUGAGGGGAGUCUAUUUGUGGUGGUAAUUGGAGGAGGUAGCUUCAAAUCAUGGCGGAAUAGAACCCAACCCGUGCGCCAUUUCUUGUACGGUUUUACCCAAAAUUCACCAAUUUCCACCCAAUUUUCACAUGAAAAUGGAAGAGGGAUCGGUUUGCCUUGUGGUAAGGGUCAUUUUGACACUAACCUUGUCGUCCAAGGUGGCCGGAGAUGGGAGAAUCCACCGGGUCGGGUCACGGGUUGAGGGAAACCCGGUUUCCCCUUUUUCUUUCUCCCUCCUUUCCCCUCCUUUCCUUCCUCUGGUUGGUCACCUUCACUCUCUCUCUUCAUUCCCUUAGCCGAAGCUCUCUCUCCCUUCCUCUCUGAUUGGGCAGCCAAUCCCCUUCUUCUUUUUCCCCUUCUCCCCCUGUUUCUUCUUCUCCUUCCCUCUAUUUUUACCAAAGUUAAUCUUAAAAUAAUGUAAUGGUACUUAAGAAAAUAUAUAAAAUAAUAAAUGGUAAUAUCAAUACCCCAAUCCGCUUCUGUUUACGCCUAUGCGGCCGUAUUGUCAAGUACUACAAAAAUACACUAAAGGAAUAUUUCAUACGUCUCACUAUACGUUGGUCAACGAAAGUCAAUACCCUCGCCUCUUAGGGCAUUUUCGUAAAUUCACACUUUUAAAAUUUAUAAAAUCAUAGAACUAGGGACGGGUUGUCACAUAUUUUCUUAUAUUUUUUUUAAUUUUAAAUUUAUUAAUUAUAUAACUUUACACUUUAUAUCUUUUCAAAGAAGGCAGAACAAGGAGGAGAUCAAUUAUUCCUCAAUUAAUCUACUUCAUUAUUCCUCAAUUAAUCUACUUCUUAACUUUUUUGAUAUUAAAUUUCAUUUUCAUGUGUUAAUAAAUGUAAGAAUCUAAAUGAUUUCGCAUGUGAUUGGCAUGAAAUCCAAAUGUCUCUUUAGUUCAAUAUAACAACCUCUUGUCCCACGAGAUUUUGAAACCACUACCUCCUCCGACGAAAUGGAGAUCAAAAAACCAUUAGUACAAAGGUAGAAUACAACCAAACUCUAGGUAUAGCAAUUUUUGUUCUGUCUAACAAAAGCCAAUACAUGCAGAUGACGCUUUACCAUAGUGACAAAAAACAAUUAUGUCUACACACCCCAACCAACCUCCUCACCCCUAACAAAAGCCACUACAUUGAUAUCCUCUACCCUUCUAAAGUCAUCACAUUCUUAUUCAGAGAAUGGAGGAGAGAAGCUGAAGUAGCAUAUGAGGCCAUGAGAACAUGGAAAUUCAGACCAAAGAAGCAUAAAAACCAUAUGGAAAAGAUGAUGAUGCAUGUGGAACAAUUGACAAACUUGAUAGAAAAGAUGUGAUGCGCAAACACGACGCCUUUUCAGGUUGGAGGGGGCCUUUGUGGUCUGAGCGAGAGAGAGAGAGAGAGAGAGAGAGAGAGAGCUCCUCUAAUUCAAUCAUAUAAAAGUAAAACUGAUGAUAAAUCAUUCCAAACACACAAAUAACGUUAUAAAAAUGCAGUCUCUUUAAUUAAUUAUUGACAAAUAGCUUGAAAUCUUUCAAAAUGCGGUCCAUUCAUUUUGCGGUUGCGGUUGCGAUUUCUUCGUUUUGUUGAAGCUCGCCAGCCUCUCAACAACGGUGCAAUCCACUUUACAUAUGAGGAGGUGGGGGGAGCUGCCCUUGUUGCAGAGGAGGACCUUGCUUCCUCGGUCUAUUUGUAUUAAUAAAUUUACUAUCUGCUUCUCAAAUAAACCCAACUUGUCUUUCAAACCAGGUGAAAUGUUACUCUUGGAAACCUGUAAGAUUGAUAUGAGGCGCUCUAACAUGGUUCUGAACAUUUUUAGCUUCUCAAGCUGCUCUGACUUUGGUUGUUGUGGAAGAGAAUCGUGCUGGCAAACAGAAAGACCAGACAUCAGUAAGCAAAAGAAUGGCAAUAUAAGGAGUAACAACUUUGUUGCGAAAUCUUAUUAGCAUUAUUGGUGAGGUAACAAUCCCAAGUAGACAGUCUACAUGGGUACAAUAAUUAAAAGGGAGAUCAAGGUAGAAUCUAUCAAAGAGCAGCACCACAAUAACCUAGCAGGGAAAGCCCUGCUAAUUGCUAAAAGUUCAAGCAACAAAUUAUGAGAGAAGAAAAAAUUGAAAUGAUUACAUACCUGCUGAAGUUUAGUAGCAAUUUUCUGAUACAUUUCACUUAGUUCGGGUAAGUAAUUUUCCUUCAUGACUUUGAUCUGCAAAUGAAAGUUAUAAAUACAAUGAUGAUUAGAAAAAACUUUGCUGCAGCUACAUGCUUGCCGAUACUCAUGAAUUCAGACAGCAUGAAUUCAUGUAUGCUUGUAUCUAAUGAAGCAAGUUUUAAUGAACUCCCAACCGAUGGUAGCUUAACAAAGCUGCCCCACAAGGAAUCUUAACUAGCAUGUAAUUCUUCAAAAUCCCCAUUCAAGGCAAUUUUGGCAUUAGUAUAAUUAUUUUCCAGUAGCUCUAUUCCCACCCCCAUGCCAAAUAAUUUGUAUUUUUAUCUUUAGAUGUUGUAUGUAAAAGCCAUCAAAUGGACAAGAAGUCAGGACAUCUUACUUUUUGAUAGACCUCCUCUUGCCAAUCACCCCCAUUUGCAUAUCCAGUCUGAGCUGAGGAAUCUAGAGAAGCUACAAAAUAUAGAGAGAUAUAUAUGUCAAUGUUUGCACAUAAAAUGAAAUUUGAACACGAGGGUUAAAAAUGAGAAAGAAAAAAAAUAAGCAUUGCAUGCAAAACAUUGAUAUGGAAAAUUAUCCUUCCCAAACAGUUGAGGUGCAAUUUUGCUCCUACUUUCUGCUUAUGACGGUAAUUACUUUUUAUGGGAAGACUUCAGGUGCAAUUUUGCCCUUGAUUGGGGACUUGGGGUUGCAUACCUUGAUUGGGGACCUGGGGUUGCAUACCGAAAGACCCUACUCAAGUAAAUAGCAAGAAUAAACACCAUAUAAACAAGCGUCAAAACAAGAAAACAAUAAAUGUCAUUUGUACUCAUCAUUUGAUCCAUUAAAUACGAGCGAAUAAAGAUAUCAAGAAAGAAUCAUCUCAGUUAAGAAAUGCGGGAGUAAUUAAGAAAAAGAACGAACGUUUCUCGCAAUAGAUCAACCAUCAAGAAGAAAGCUAGGCGGGAGAGAAAAGGGCAGUUUUCAAUAGUUGUUUUUACUGUUACCAGCAGAGUUAGAUUGUAAAGGAUUGCCCAUUGAAUUCUGAGACUUGGUCUCCAUUGUGAGCAUCUUCAGAGAAAUUUUCCGUAGAUAAUCCGACUACAAAAAUAAAAAAAUCCAUGCUAAAUUUAGAAUACAGUUCUAUCCAAAAUAUGAAGAAAGUUCAAACAUAUACAACAUAUUUUUAAGAAGUCAUAUAUGUAAUAGAUAGGUAAGUAUUUAAGUACGCAAACAUUUCAUGCACCAUAAGAAAUAAGAACUCUGGUAUUAUGGAAGCACCUGGCUUGUGGCUGCAGUAUAAAUCUUUUCCUCAAACCUUACAGCAAUUUUACUGAGUUCCUGUAAUCCAUCUUGUCCGGAGAAGGGAAAAUGCCUCUUCAACGUAUCCAUUCUAUAAAAAAGGUCGUAUCCAUUCUAUACAUGCAAUAAAAUCAACAUCAGUUACUGACUACCAAUAUGUUUUAAGUUUGAAGUCCUCUCGCCAUAGUUUAGAUUAGAUUACGCUAAAUUAGACUACCGCUUGAAACAAAAAAAGAAUCGACAAAGAAAAACACUUGCAGAUUGUUGACAAUUCUUUGCCUUGAAUCAGCCUGCAGCUGACUCCUCCAAUCGCCGGCAUCCAUGGCCGCCUCUCCAACUUGAGAAGGCCUCCACUUACUGGUAUCCAUCAAAUCCAAUCAACCCAACAAAACUGCCAAAAACAAAAGCACAGGACUGAGCAACUUCAACGAAAACCUACGAAAAGGGCACAAAAAUUCGUACAAGAGCUAGCUAUUCGAACGACCAUACCGUUUAUAAUUACGCAGGCAGUUUUUUUGCUUCAGAAAUUGCAUUCAUUCAAGCUGAUUCUAAACACGGUUUAGGCGCCAUGAAAAAUCAAAACUUGCAAUUCACAUACAAUCGAAAACCAGAUACGAUUUACACAAUCAGAUCAAAAAAUAAAAUAAAAAUAACGAAUUUCCCACAAAAACCCACGAUCGAUCAACAUCUAAAACAAAAAACCCAACAAAAUUUGACCAAAAAGUUACCUCUUUUGUUUCAGAACAGGAGAGUUGAAGAUUGAAAGGUUCAGGUUGCCUGGAGUGAAACAAUGGAGAAAUUGCAGAACUGGGAAAUCGGGGGAUUGGGACAGGAAGGAGGGUUCUUGCUCAAAAGCUUCAAACUUUGACAAGAUUGAAUGGAUUGAUGCGUCCGAUGUGGUCUUUUUAGUUUGAAGUAGGAAGGGAGAGACAACAAAUAUCCUAUUUUAACCAAUGUCUGAUUUUUUAGGUUUUUUUUUUUUUUUUAUAGAAAAACUGAUGAAAAGAUGUUUUAGUUUUAAUAAAAAAAUUAUGUUAUAAGUUUUGUUUAAUGAUUAGUAUAAGACUUAUAUUAAAGUAGUCAAACUAAAAAUGGCAUAACUAUAAUAACUUAUUAUUUGUCGAUUUUACCUUUAACUUUUUUAGGUUAACUUCCAGAUUUUCGUCGUUAAUGAAGUUCAUCGUUGUUUUGCAGACCUUCUUCUUUUUUUUUGAAACAAAAUUAUAGAUCCUCAUGCAAGUUAAUUUAUAUUUUGUAUUAUUUUGUUGAAACGUGAUCGUUGUUAUUAUUCAUAAAGUAUUCGAAAUACUGUUUUUCAAUUUUUCUUCGUUAGUGGAGUUCAUCCUUUGUUUUUCCAGAAAACAAAUUUAAGAUCUGCAUGUUAUUCAAUAAUAACGAUGGGUCACUGUUUCUGGAUUGUAAAAAUAAACUGUUUCUAGAUUUUAAGCAACACUGUUUCUGGAAUCCAAGUCACUGUUUCUGAAUCUAAAUGAAAUAGACACAUUGUUUCUUAAAUGUAAGCUAGAAAAGAAAUAGUGAAAUUCAUUGUAUUUGGAUUCAAAGAAAAAUAAGCAUCUUGUUUCUUAAAUAUAAUCAACUGAUGCAUGAAAAAAAAAGAAACAAUCAAAGGUUAAAACAUAGACUGUUUCUGGAAUUUAAGGCACUGUUUUUAGAAUUUAAGUCACUGUUUCUGGAUUUUGGUUCUUUUAUUUCCAGAUAGAGUGUUUGUUUGUGCACAGAAAAAACAAAAACUGUAUUUGAUUUUUUUUUUCCAGAAAUAGUGUUAUGUUAUGGGUUCUCCAGAAACAGUUUUAUGUUUUGGUUUUUUUUUUCUAUUUACAGACGCUUGACAUGUACGUACAUCACCGGGACCGUAGGUCCUUAUUGGAUCUGAUUGGAAUAAAAUACUAACACUAUAAAUUGUUUGUGGUGCAGAUAAGACGAUGAGGAUGAGGAUGAGGACGAUGACGAGGAUGAGGAGGAUAAGGGCACGAAAAAGGUAGACAAAAGUUUUGGAUGAUUUUUUAUUAAACUUUGAACCCUUUUGGUUAAAUUGUUUGUGUCUCUAACAUUACUGAUGUAAAUAGACUGAUUUUCAUAUAUAUUUUUUUUUAAUUUAUUAAUUAUAUAACUUUACACUUUAUUACUAUUCAAAGAAGACAGAACAAGGAGGAGAUCAAUUAUUCCUCAAUUAAUCUACUUCUUGACCUUUUCGGUAUUAAAUUGCAUAUAGUGAGCAUCACGUAACUUUUAUUUUCAUGUGUUAAUAAAUGUAAGAAUCCAAAUGAUUUCGCAUGUGAGUAAAUACAUGUGGUUGGCAUGAAAUCUUCAAUAUAACCUCUUGUCCCAUGAGCUUUUGAAACCAUUACCUCAUCCGACGAAAUGGAGAUCAAAAAACCAUUAGUACAAAGGUAGAAUACAACCAAACUCUAGGUAUAGCAAUAUUUUUUUCUCUCUAACAAAAGCCAAUACAUGCAGAUGACGCUUUAUCACAGUGACGAAAAACAAUUAUAUCCAUGCACCCAAACCAACCUCCUCACCCCUAACAAAGCCAAUACAUUGAUAUCCUCUACCCUUAUAAAGUCAUCACAUUUUUAUUCAGAGAAUGGAGGAGAGAAGCUGAAGUAGCAUAUGAGGCCAUGAGAACAUGGAAAUUCAGACCAACGAAGCAUAAAAACCAUAUGGCAAAGAUGAUGAUGCAUCUGGAACAAUUGACAAACUCGAUAGAAAAGAUGUGAUGUGCAAACACGACGCCCUUUCAGGUUGGAGGGGGCCUUUGUGGUCUGAGACUUGGUCUCCAUUGUGAAGUCACGGCCCAGGAUCAUGGAAGUACCUGGACUGUGGCUGCAGUAUACUAAUAAGAGGGAGGGAGGGAGAGAGACAGACAGAGAGAGAGAGAGCUCCUCUAAUUCAACCAUAUAAAAGUAAAACUGAUGAUAAAUCAUUCCCAUAGUCAUACAAUAAAAGUAAAUAACAUUUCUACUGUUCCAAACACACAUAAAACGUCAAAAAAAUGCAGUCUCUUUAAUUAAUUAUUGGCAAAUAGCUAGAAAUCUUUCAAAAUGCGGUCCAUUCAUUUCGCGGUUGCGGUUGCGGUCUCUUCGUUUUGUUGAAGCUCGCCAGCAUCUCUACAAUGGUGCAAUCCACUUUACAAUGCACUGUGCAGUGCCCAUUGCACUUUCUUUUCCACUGCCCUGGCAUUAUCAGCAGAAUCCGCAUAUGUUUGACAAUAUUUUUCCGCGUAUGUUGCAAAUGAUAUAAAUUCUUCAAGCGUCACAUCCUUCUUGCCCUUGUUUCUUCUUCUGGCAGCAGCAGUGGCGGGAGUAGCAGCACCACACCGAUGACAACGCCCAGCCUUCCACCUCACAGCAGCAAACAGAUGCACUCAAUGCAUCUGAGCCAAUGUCACUGACAGAUGCACUCAAUGCAUUAGGUGACAUCGAUUUCACCUGCAAGUUCAAAAUACAGAAAUUUAAUUUAAGCACAAGUGAGGGAAGGAAAAGACCAAUUUAGAUGGUAAGUACUGAAACAUCAAUACAGCACUCAAAAAGAGAAAUAUGUAAUAAGAACCACUUUACUAACCGCCUUAAUCAAGCGUUCAAGAGGCUGCUCGGUAACACUCGAUUUGCCAGAAAUAGUUGACAAAGCAUUAACAUGACUAGCAUCUGGUACAAUAAAUUCAGCAAGCAAAGGAGAUGCCAACAUCCCACUAGUGCCAAUUGCAAGGGACUGGACUGGUGCUCCCACCCCAGCUGCUUGUUGAUGUCCGAUAUUCCCAGCAUUUGGUAGUGAGGAAGGUUUCUCAGAAUCCCCUGGCAUGGGGGAUGGAACCAUGGGAGUUGAAGGAGAUGGGAUGACAACAGGUGAACCGGCAGUUUGCAAUGGUGUUCCAGCUUUCAGGUGAGUCAGUAGAUUCUUGUGGUCAACUUGGGGAGAAGAAUGUUGCGAAAUUUGACGAGAUGCAGCCUGAAUGAGUUGGUUUGAUGAUGGAAUAGGAAAUGGAGAUCCUAAUUUCAACUGCUGAUGUGGAUAAGCACGCUGGCCUGCGGAUAUAUGUUGCUGAAAAACCCCUGGCUUAACACCCAUCCCCUGUCUCAUCUUCAAGUCAUUUGCAUCAUUCAUUUGAUGAAGCAGUGGCAUUUGGUGUUGGUUCGCCUCCAUCUGCGCCGGAAGCUGCUGCUUUGCUUGCUGCAACUGUUGCUGCUGCUGUUGCUGUUGCAGUAUCUGCUGCUUCUGUAUCAAUUGCUGCUGCAUUCGCUGUUGAUACUGUUGCUUCAGUUGAUUCUGAAACAUUUGCUGUUCCUGCUGUUUUAAUUGCUGGUGUUGAAGCAUACCAGAAUUUGACUGAAGGGAGAUAAUAUUUGGCUGAAGCAUACUAACCCCACUCUGCGAUGACAGACCAUUCAUGUUAGCUUGCUGGGGAGCACUGACAGGAGUUUGUUGGAUAGAUCCCACCGGAACUUGCUGCAAAGAGUUCGGUGCAUUUCCCUGUCCUGAAUCCAAAUUUGUACUUGGCUGCAAUGAAUUCAUCAUGUUGCUGUGCUGUUGAAACCCCAGAAAUCGAAGACAUUGAAUUUUGCUCCGAGCUUGUCAUAUAGUUCUGCUGCAUUGUUGGCACAGAACCUUGUAAAUUCAUUGUUUGCAACUGCGGGUUCAUUUGAUUUUCAUGAGACUGCACUUGACGAAUUUGAGACUGCGGCUGCUGCAUGGAGUGCAUAUGAGGUGGGGGGAACUGCCCUUGUUGCAGAGGAUCUUGCUUCCGUGGUCUAUUUGUAUUAAUAAAAUUUACUAUCUGCUUCUCAUAUAAACCCAAAUUAUCUUUCAAACCAGGUGAAACAUUACUCUUGGAAAUCUGUAAGACUGAUAUGAGGCGCUCUAACAUGGUUUUGAACAUUUUUAGCUUCUCAAGCUGCUCUGACUUUGGUUGUUGUGGAAGAGAAUCGUGCUGGCAAACAGAAAGAACAGACGUCAGUAAGCAAAAGAAUGGCAAUAUAAGGAGUAACAACUUUGUUGCGAAAUCUUAUUAGCAUUAUUGGUGAGGUAACAAUCCCAUGUAGACGGUCUACAUGGGUACAAUAAUUAAAAGGGAGAUCAAGGUAGAAUCUAUCAAAGAGUAGCACCACAAUAACCUAGCAGGGAAAGCCCCGCUUAUUGCUAAAAGUUCAAGCAACAAAUUAUGAGAGAAGAAAAAAUUGAAUUGAUUACAUACCUGCUGAAGUUUAGUAGCAAUUUUCUGAUACAUUUCACUUAGUUCGGGUAAGUACCUUUCCUUCAUGACUUUGAUCUGCAAAUGAAAGUUACAAUACAAAGAUGAUUAGAAAGAACUUUGCUGCAGCUACAUGCUUGCCGACACCAUCAUAACAUCAAUGCCAAUGGAAAAGAGCCCGUGCAUGCAACCAUGAAUUCAUGUAUGCUUGUAUCUAAUGAAGCAAGUUUUAAUUAACUCCCAACCGAUGGUAGCUUAACAAAGCUGUCCCACAGGGAAUCUUAACUAGCAUGUAAUUCUUCAAAAUCCCCAUUCAAGGCAAUUUUGGCAUUAGUAUAAUUCUUUUCCAGUAGCUCUAUUCCCACCCCCAAGCCAAAUAAUUUGUAUUUUUAUAUUUAGAUGUUGUAUGUGAAAGCCAUCAAAUGGACAAGAAGGCAGGACAUCUUACUUUUUGAUAGACCUCCUCUUGCCAAUCACCCCCAUUUGCAUGUCCAGCCUGAGCUGAGGAAUCCAGAGAAGCUGCAAAAUAUAGAGAGAUAUAUGUCAAUGUUUGCACAUAAAAUGAAAUUUGAACACGAGGGUUUAAAAUGAGAAAGAAAAAAAAAAAAAAAAGCAUUGCAAGCAGAACAUUACAACAACAACAACAACAAAGCCUUUUCCCACUAAGUGGGGUCGGCUAUAUGAAUCCUAGAACGGCAUUGCGCGCGGUUUUGUGUCAUAUCCUCCGUUAGAUCCAAGUACUCUAAGUCUUUUCUUAGGGUCUCUUCCAAAGUUUUCCUAGGUCUACCUCUACCCCUUCAGUCCUGAACCUCUAUCCCGUAGUCACAUCUUCGAACCGGAGCGUCAGUAGGCCUUCUUUGUACAUGUUCAAACCCAUUUUGUGUACGUGUUGAUGCUUCACCUCCCAACGUUUUGUGCCAUACAGCAUCGCCGGCCUUAUUGCCGUCCUAUAAAAUUUUCCCUUGAGCUUUAGUGGCCUACGACAGUCACACAACACGCCGGAAGCACUCUUCCACUUCAUCCAUCCAGCUUGUAUUCUAUGGUUGAGAUCUCCAUCUAAUUCUCCGUUCUUUUGCAAGAUAGAUCCUAGGUAGCGAAAACGGUCGCUCUUUGGUAUUUCCUGAUUUCCGAGCCUCACCCCUAACUCAUUUUGGCCUCCAUUUGCAAUGAACUUGAACUCCAUAUAUUCUGUCUUUGAUCGGCUUAGGCGAAGACCUUUAGAUUCCAACACUUCUCUCCAAAAGUUAAGCUUCGCAUUUACCCCUCCUGAGUUUCAUCUAUCAACACUAUAUCGUGUGCGAAAAGCAUACACCAAGGAAUAUCAUCUUGAAUAUGUCCUGUUAACUCAUCCAUUACCAACGCAAAAAGGUAAGGACUUAAGGAUUGUUGAUGCACAAAAUUAGUGAGGACUUUGGUACAACAGAAAGUAUUAAGUUUGUGAUCUUCGCUAGAUUGCUCUGGUCAUUAGUGUGGAUAAGUAUGUAAAUGGAUAGAGACAGGAAAGCAAACACAAGAUGUACGUGGUUCACCCAGAUUGGCUACGUCCACGGAGUAGAGGAGUUCUCAUUAAUUGUGAAAGGUUUACGUAAGUACAUAGGUUCAAGAUCUCCUUUAGUGAGUACAAGUGAAUGAUUUAGUACAAAUGACAUAGGUGCAAGCUCUCGUCUUCACUUGCCUUAACUGUCUCAUAGGUAGAUGUGGCAUCUUCUCUGUAAGUACGCUUCUUCCAUCCAGGGGUGGUAUCUUUAACUGGUGGAGAUACAUAAGGUAAUGUAUCAAUUUCACUUGAAGCUUAUUUGUAGUUUCAGGCUUGGUCAAGCGCGAUACAAACCAUGUAGUAGGAGUCCCCCAAGUCGUUGAGCUAGGGGAUCUGCUGAAAGAGGUGACAGACAAGGUAAGCAAUCAGAGCUCCAAGCAAUCAGUCCCAGAUCAGAAGUUUGAUUUCGAGUUCUGGCUGAUUGUUCUCAUUCUCCCUAUCUUGCAGGCAGCAUGAAGGAUAAAAAGAAGAAAAGGAGAAUAGACGAUAUGAGAUACUUUUGCUUUUGAAGAAGUAACUUUCCACAGACUUAUUCUUGAACUGGGCUGGAGGAUUUUCUAGUUUCCUCCAUAGUAUAAGGCCGACUGAAGAAUUUGAGGGUCAAAACACGUCCAUCAAAUCUAGAGUACAUUCGACCCUGCUGAUAUGGGAUACUUUUGUUGUUGACAAAGUAGUGGAUGUAUCGGCACGUGUUCUGUUACGCUUGUCUCCACAUGCUUCCUUGUAUCCUUCUCACUUUCCCUAUCUGUUCCUCAGGCAGAUGUGGUAUCUUCUCUGGAAGCAUAAGAUGUUGAAGAUGGGUACUCGAGAGCAAUGUCAGGUAAGUAAUCAGGUAAGGGGUUCCAGGCAGUCAGUUCCUGACUAGAAGCUUGAUUCCAAGUGCUGACUGAUUGCUCUCUCCUUGUCUUGCAGGUAAGAACAAGGCCAAAGGAAAAGACAGGGAAAAAGCAUGAUAUGGGAUACUCUUGCUUUUAACCCUGAUGAUAUGAGAUAUUCUUGCUCUGGUGUAGCUUGUUUGCAGAGGUAUUAUUGGGGGGAAAGAAAGCUGAGUAUUUCGAGAGGCUUCGUUGGGAGUGCCCUCUCAAAUAUGAAGAAGGGUUGAGCAUUUUUGCAGGUCUGCCUGUCCGUUGAGGAUGGAGGUCGACAUAUAUAGGAGUUCCCCUAACAAUAAGUAGUAAUGUUAUUCCUUUACCCUGCUUGGUCAUAGCACGGUAGUGGGAGCUGCCAGCUUCACGUGUGUCAGAGCACUUUGAAAAAAUGGUCUGUGGUAUCCGGAAAGCUAAUGUUGAGUGUGAAGAUUACAGACAAGCUUUAUCCAAGGAGAUCUGGCUCUCAAAGUUGAGAAAGCGGUGCCUCUUCGGUUUUCGUACAAGCAAUCCUGUCGAGGAUCUGGCUCUCGAGAUUCGAAAAACGGUGCCUCUUCGAUUUUUGAGAGAGCAAUCCUGCAGGGAGUCUAGCUCUCGAGAUUCGGAGAGCGGUGUCUCUUCGAUUUUUGAGAAAGUAAUCAUGUUGGGAGUCUGGCUCUCGAGAUUCAGAGGACGGUGCCUCUUCGAUUUUGGAGCAAGCAAUCUUGUUGGGAGUGUUUUCUCGAAUGUAAGUAAAGGUUGGGCAUGUUUGCUAGUCUACCUUGCCACAGAGCACAGAGGUUGACACACAAGGACUUUCCAAUUAUCCAGCAGCGGUGCUGUUCCUUUACCCUUGUAGGUAAUAAUAUGGUAACUAGACCUUCAAAAUUUAUGUGUCUAAACUUUGUUAGUGCUGUUUCUUUGCUAUUCUUUUACUCUUCUUGGUCAUAGCGAUGUAGUGGGAGCUGCAAGCUUCACGUGUCUAAACUUUGUCAGAGAUCUUUGGCAAAGUUAUCUGUGGUACCCAUGAGCUGAUGGUGCGUGUGGAAAGUGGAUAAUUGAACAGUAAGAUUCACGUGCUUUCUACUUCACCAGAAAUCUUCAACAGAAUGCCCGUAAUUUCAGCAAAGCUGAGUGUGCAUGUGACAGGUGCUGACAAGGCUGAAAAAAGCAGGUGCCUCUUCGAUUUCUGAGAUCGGCCCUCGUGGUCUCUGAGCAGCCCAGCUUUUGAGAAAGCAAACGCCUCUUCGAUUUCUGAGAUCGGCCCUCGUGGUCUUUGAGCAGCCCAGCUUUUGAGAAAGCAAACGCCUCUUCGAUUUCUGGGCAGGCGCCUCUUCGAUUUCUGAAGCUCCGUCGAGUGCAGAUUUUUAUAGAGGCUAGCAUUAAGUUCCAAAGCACACUUGAAUCUUUACCAGUAGAAGCUCCCUUCUUGCACUUAUAAGAUCUUGAUUUGUCCGACCUCUUCUCUCUUCAACACCUUUGAAAAUGUCUGGCCCCUCCGACCGUCGUUUUGACUUGAACCUCGUUGAAGAGGCAGCCACGCCUUCUUCAGACAACAUAUGGCGCCCAUCCUUCUUAUCCCCUACUGGUCCGCUUACCGUUGGGGAUUCCGUGAUGAAGAAUGAUAUGACUGCUGCGGUGGUGGCCAGGAACCUUCUCACUCCCAAAGAUAAUAGACUACUUUCCAAAUGGUCUGAUGAGUUGGCUGUUAAGGAUUCUCUGGUUCUAAGUGUUCAGUGUGCAUGUUCUGUGUCUAAUAUGGCCCAACGCCUAUUUGCUCGAACCCGCCAAGUUGAAUCAUUGGCAGCUGAAAUGAUGAGUCUCAAAUAGGAGAUUAGAGGGCUCAAGCAUAAGAAUAAACAGUUGCACCAGCUCGCACAUGACUAUGCUACAAACAUGAAGAGGAAGCUUGACCAGAUGAAGGAAUCUGAUGGUCAGGUUUUACUUGAUCAUCAGCGGUUUGUGGGUUUGUUCCAAAGGCAUUUAUUGCCUUCGUCUUCUGGGGCUGUACCGCGUAAUGAAGCUCCAAAUGAUCAACCUUCGAUGCCUCCUCCUUCUAGGGUUCUGUCCAGUACUGAGGCUCUGAGUGAUCCCCCUCCGGUGCCUUCUCUUUCUGGGGCUCGACCGACUGCUGAGACUUCUCCUAAGCAACCUUUGUGAAGGCUCCCUCUUGUUUGUUUAUUUUGACUCAUGUAUAUGUACAUAUUUGUAACUUAUCGGAGAUAUCAAUAAAUAAGCUUUGCUUCAUUUCAAUGUAUUGUGUUAAAUACACCAAAGGUAUGAAAGGCACUUCAGGUGCAAUUUUGCUCCUACUUUCAACUUAUGAGGGCAAUUACUUUUUUAUGGGAAGACUUCAAAGGUUUCUUUUUCUUUGUUUAAAAGUAAUUGUGGAGUUAUCAAGAGGAAAUGGGUUAACAUUAUGUCAGAAUAGCGUCUCUAUCACCAUAUCUCAUGGAAAGACAAGAUACAAAAACUAAAAUCAAAGGCAACAGAAGCUUCAGCUUUCACCAGAAAAUCACUCGUAAAGAACUCAGAUUGUAAACAUUAAGCAAGAGAGGUGAAAGGUAAACUUAUGGUAAUUAAGGUGGUCCGUAUACCAAAUUUGAGGUGUAGGCGCAAAACUCGUAACUAGGCUAUUUAUAUAUAUAUUCUAUUCUCUUAGUCGGGUUUAAUAACUAUUUUCUUAUCCUUGUGGAUUAUUAUUUGCUAUAAUUAAUUCAUUUCCUUUUGGGAUUUUACUUUUAGAUUAUAUAACCACAUCAAUCUCUAUUACUCAACCCUAGUUCAGCCUAUAUGGAUAUUCAGAAUGCAAGACUAACUUUGAAUUUAUUUUUUCUUUCAGUUUGGGAUUUAGCUUUUUAUCUUCCCUCCCCUGUGCUGCAACAUACAAGACUAACUCUGUUCCUUUUAUAUAAAUCCAAUUACCAAAUAUAAAUCACAAAAUUUUAUGUACACUACCACUACACAUAUCAACCUCUAAAAAGAAAAGCAAGAAAUCAAGAAAGACCAAGGCUUGCUUUAGCCCUAUAGUUUAAUGUGACCAGAUAUUUGCAUAGGACUCUGGUUCUCCAUUCCAUGAUGGUUAGAUGCUGAAGUACUGGAAAGAACAGAAGUCGUCAUGUUUGAAAGAGAGGCAUGAUGCAUCUAUUUAAAAGUGUUGGUGACAACGAACAUGUGGUGGGAAGAUGGGACACACCUACUUGGCAAGAUAGCCAGGCAUAAAAAUUUCUAUUGACUAAGUCCAAUGCACAUCCAUGUUACAUUUUAAUACAAGAAGUCAUAUAUGGCAAAGAUAAAAUUCCAAAAUUAGACUACUUCCAUAGAGAGUCUAGACACCUACAUCUGGCAACCACAACAAAAUAAUAUAUUUACCAAGGUCAUCCAAAAAAAAAGUGUGCCCCAUAAAAACAUAUAAUAAAGACCAUUUUCAUAACAAAAUCAAAUUAAUGACAUAAAAAUGACAGUAUUACCUAUAAUACAAUAUGAUAAACAGACCGAAAUCACAUAAUACAAAAGUAAAAUAAGAAUAAAAUAAGAUUCCGUCCAAAAUGUGCACCUAUGAUAAUCUAGAUAUCAUGAAAGCACAUGCAUAAAAUCAGGAAAGUGCAUAAGUGCAAAAAUCGUACUCGAUGAUGUCUCAGCAAGGGGUCUCUGAGAUUGAUAUAACUGCUUUUGCUGAUCCAUUACAUUUUGAGCUUGAAGCAUGGUUCCUGAUAUCUGACCUGAUGCUUGAAGCCUUUGCUGCAUAUCUCGUUGCAGUGGAUUUGACUGCUGUUGCAAACCCAUUUGUUGCAUCUGUGGCUGUGAUUGAAUCUGUGACAUCAUUUGUUGCUGUGAUGCUUGCGGUUGUGACUGCUGUCCUUGAGUCGGUAACAUGUUAGAUGCAUUCGGAUGUUGUUGCUGCUGCACCUGAACCUUGGAUUGUUGCAACAAGUGUACAGAGUGCUGAUUUGGUUGCAUACUAGAAUUACCACUUUGAGUUCCAAGGUGCUGCUGUUGCUGUAAUCCGGUAACAUUACUCUGAGAGCCCAACUGUUGCUGAUGCAUAUUUGAAAGGUUGCUUUGCUGCUGUUGCUGUAACCCAGUAACAUUACUCUGCGGGCCCAAUUGUUGCUGAUGGAUAUUAGAAAGGUUGCUUUGCUGAGCCAUUAACUGCUGCUGCUGCUGCUGUUGUUGCUGUUGCUGCUGCUGCUGCUGCUGCUGUUGCUGUUGCUGUUGUUGCAGGUUUAAAAGAUUAUUCUGCUGGUUUAGUAACCUCUGUUGUUGCUGCUGCUGCAUAUCCCCGACAUUAGUUUGUUGUCCAAUCAUCUGAUUCUGGGACAAGUUUGAAGCAGUUGGCUGCUGCUGCUGCGGGGUUAAUAUUGGCUGUUGUGCCAUUGGUGUUUGCUGUUGAUGAACAGCUACCUGUUGAGGCUGCUGUUGCUGCCUGAGAACUGGCUGUGAAUGCUGCGGAAGCAUGGGUUGUGAUGACUGUUGCAUAGCAGAUUGUUGAUUCUGCUGGACAGAUGAUUGCACUGAAGGCUGCAUAACAGACGAUGUUGGCAUAACAGAUUGCUGGGAAGAUUGCAACUGAGUCGGUUGUAAAAGGUUCUGCUGCUGUUGCUGUUGCUGUUGCACAAGUUGUGGCAUAUUUCCCUGCUCAUAUUUUGGCUUCAAAAGCGAAUGUUGCAUCUGUUGAUGGUACAUAUACUGCUGGGAAUUCUGGGAAUUCUGGGAUUGCUGCGGCUGCUGCUGUUGGGGAGCUACCUGUUGCCUUCCUGGCAUUUGCCUUUGAGAAUUAGCAAAGACAUUGGAGGGUACCCCCUGGCCCAUGGAAUUCCCUAAUGAAUUCUGUGAACUUCCAGACAUAUUUUGCAUGUUUGGGUUUUGUCCACCUAUACUUGGGAUAGGAGUCUGGGUUAAACCGGAAGAAGGAGGUAGUGCAGAUGAUAAGCCAGACGAACUUUGAACUCCAGCAGGUGGAAUGUUAUUCUGAAUGCUCUGUGAUAAAAGUGGUUGGCGUCCUUGAGAUUGAUUAGCUGGUAACGGCAUAGAGAGUGAUUGCCCAUGAUUGGGGACUUGGGGUUGCAUACCUUGAUUGGGAACUUGGGGUUGCAUACCAAAAGACCCUAUUCAAGUAAAAUAGCAAGAAUAAACACCACAUAGCAAGCGUCAAAACAAGAAUACAAUAAAUGUCAUCCGGCGUGUUGUGUGACCGUCGUAGGCCACUGAAGCUCAAGGGAAAAUUUUAUAGGACGACAAUAAGGCCAGCGAUGUUGUAUGGCACAGAAUGUUUGGUGGUGAAGCAUCAACCCGUACACAAAAUGGGUGUAGCGGAGAUGAGGAUGCUUCGUGGGAUGUAUGGGCACACGAGAAAUGAUAAGAUUGGGAAUGAGGAUAUCCGAGGUAAAGUAGGAGUAGCCAAAAUUGAAGGAAAUAUGAGAGAAAAUCGGUUCCGGUGGUUUGGACAUGUGCAAAGAAGGCCUACUGACGCUCCGGUUCGAAAAUGUGACUACGGGACAGAGGUUCAGGACCGAAGGGGUAGAGGAAGACCUAGGAAAACUUUGAAAGAGACCCUAAGAAAAGACUUGAGUACUUGGAUCUAACGGAGGACAUGACACAAAACCGAGCGCAAUGGCGUUCUAGGAUUCAUAUAGCCGACCCCACUUAGUGGGAAAAGGCUUUGUUGUUGUUGUUGUUGUUGUAUUUGACCCAUUAAAUACAAGUGAAUAAAGAUAUCAAGAACGAAUCAUCUCAGUUAAGAAAUGCAGGAAUAAUUAAGAAAAAGAAAGUACGUUUCAUUAGUUGUUUUUACCCGGAUCAGGGGGCCUGUUGCUGUUACCCGCAGAGUUAGAUUGUAAAGGAUUGCCCAUUGAAUUCUGAGACUUGGUCUCCAUUGUGAGCAUCUUCAGAGAAAUUUUCCGUAGAUAAUCCGACUACAAAAUUAAAAAAUCCAUGCUAAAUUUAGAAUACAGUUCUAUCCAAAAUAUGAAGAAAGUUCAAGCAUAGACAACAUAUUUUUAAGAAGUCAUAUAUGUAAUAGAUAGGUAAGUAUUUAAGUACGCAAACAUUACAUGCACCAUAAGAAAUAAGAACUCUGGUAUUAUGGAAGCACCUGGCUUGUGGCUGCAGUAUAAAUCUUUUCCUCAAACCUUACAGCAAUUUUACUGAGUUCCUGUAAUCCAUCUUGUCCGGAGAAGGGAAGAUGCCUCUUCAACGUAUCCAUUCUAUACAUGCAAUAAAACCAACAUCAGUUACAGACUACCAAAAUGGGGGUAGCGUUCAUAAUAGCAAAGCUGGAUUAGACUACCGCUUGAAACAAAAAAAGUUCAACAAAGAAAAACACUUACAUCUUGUUGACAAUUCUUUGCCUCGAAUCAGCCUGCAGCUGACUCCUCCAAUCGCCGGCAUCCAUGGCAGCCUCUCCAACUUGAGAAGGCCUCCACUUAUUGGUAUCCAUCAAAUCCAAUCAACCCAACAAAACUGCCAAAAACAAAAGUACAGGACUGAGCAACUUCAACGAAAACCUACGAAAAGGGCACAAAAAAUUCGUACAAGAGCUAGCUAUUCGGACGACGAUACAGUUUAUAAUUACGCAGGCAUUUUUUUUGCAUCAGAAAUUGCAUUCAUUCAAGCUGAUUCUAAACACGAUUUAGGCGCCAUGAAAAAUCAAAACUUGCAAUUCAAUUCACAUACAACCGAAAACCAGAUACAAUUUACACAAUCAGAUCACAAAAACACCAACAAUAACGAAUUUUCCACAAAACCCACGAUCGAUCAACAUCUAAAACAAAAAACCCAACAAAAAUUGACCAAAAAGUUACCUCUUUUCUUUCAGAACAGGAGAGUUGAAGAUUGAAAGGUUCAGGUUGCCUGGAGUCAAACAAUGGAGAAAUUGCAGAACAGGGAAAUCGGGGGAUUGGGAAAGGAAGGAGGGUUCUUGCUCAAAAGCUUCAAACUUUGACAAGAUUUAAUGGAUUGAUGUGUUAGUAGGAAGGGAGAGCAACGAAAUAUCCUGUUUUAACCAAUGUCUGAUUUUUUUUUAGGUUUUUUUUUUAAAUUUGAAUUUUUCAGGGACAAAAAGACAAUAAAACCAUUGGCCUUAGGAAUUUAUAAGUUGCCACUUACCACUUUAUCCUAAUCCUAGGCUUUCUUGUCAAAUACCAAUUGGAUAGGAAUAUUUCCAACUGAGUCAAAAGAACAAAGUAGUCUUAUUUAUAACUAGCUUCUUGGUACGCGCUCAAAUGCGCGAAUUAACUUUUAAACGUCAAUUAAUGUAUUAGCAUUUCAUUAGUUUUACGUCUUAUAUCAUCACUUUGAAACUUAUUUAUUUGUACUAAAUAAGAAACUACUAUAUAUAGUUGGUGUAAUAAGUUUGUGUCUUUAGCAUUAUUGAUGUAAAUAGACUGAUUUUCUUAUAUUCUUUUAUUUUAAAUUUAUUAGUUAUAUAACUUUACACUUUAUUGCUUUUCAAUGAAGACAGAACAAGGAGGAGAUCAAUUAUUCCUCAAUUAAUCUACUUCAUUAUUCCUCAAUCUGCUUCUUGACCAUUUUGGUAUUAGAUUCCAUAUAGUAAAGCGUCAUGUAACUUUCAUUUUCAUGUGUUAAUAAAUGUAAGAAUCUAAAUGAUUUUGCAUGUGAUUGGCAUGAAAUCCAAAUGUCCUCUUUAGUUCAAUAUAACAACCUCUUGUCCCGCGAGAUUUUGAAACCAUUACCUCCUCUGACGACAGGGCCGGUCUAGAGAUUUUUGAGGCCCGGGACGACGUAAAAAAAAGUGCCCUAACUUCAUGUAAGAAAAUUAUUUAUCUUCACACAUAAGACAUCGAAAAAAUUAUACUUAGAAAAACACUUCAAACUUAAUAAUUUAGAAACACAUAAAAACUAAUUUAUUUUGUAUUGAGAGAGGGAAACAAAAAAACUUCGGGCUUACAAGAAGAUAGAUGAUGAGUUUUGUUUUCCAUUUGAACUUUGAAUGUGUUUUUGAAUAAAUCGUGAUGUGUUUUUUUUCUUAUUUACUAACCUUGUCAAUAUGGGACUAAAAAAUAAUGAUGUUUUCGAGUUUUACUAAAUUAAACAUUUUGAUGACACGUCAUAUAAUUUGCAAAUUUGGUAUACGUAAUAUUCUUUGUUGAAGAUUAGACUUGAAUUAAAACGAAUAUUUAAAAAUAACAACCCACAUAGCUACUAGAUAGUAACUAAAUAUAAAUUACCAACCAAACAAAAAUUUGUAAAAAUUGAAAAGAAUAAACAUGCACAUAGCAUUUCGAACUUAGGACCUCUUGUUAAUUUUAACAACAAAAAUCAUUGUUUCUAAUUAAACUUCUUUAUCCUUUAACCAAAUUUUCUAAAUUUAUACUCUUAUAAAACGAAAUUUGUAAAAAAAAGGAAAGUAAAUAAGCACACAUGAUGUUUUGAACACAAGACCUCCUUAUUAUUUUUAAAUGACAAACCACCACUUCUAGUUAAAUUUCUGUGUCUUUGAAUCAAAUUUUAUAAAUUUAUACUCUUAUAAAAACAUAUAUAAAUAUAUCGCCCUAAUAAUUUUGGUGCCCCUAAUUUUUUUGGGCCCUGGACGGUCGCCCCUUCUGCACUGGGCCUGGGCCGGCCCUGUCUGACGAAAUGGAGAUCAAAAACCCAUUAGUACAAAGGUAGAAUACAACCAAACUCUAGGUAUAGCAAUUUUUGUUCUCUCUAACAAAAGCCAACAAAUGCAGAUGACGCUUUACCAUAGUGACGAAAAACAAUUAUGUCUACGCACCCCAACCAACCUCCUCACCCCUAACAAAGGCCAAUACAUUGAUAUCGUCUACCCUUCUAAAGUCAUCACAUUUUUAUUCAGAGAAUGGAGGAGAGAAGCUGAAGUAGCGUAUGAGGCCACGAGAACAUGGAAAUUCAGACCAAAGGAGCAUAAAAACCAUAUGGAAAAGAUGAUGAUGCAUGUGGAACAAUUGACAAACUUGAUAGAAAAGAUGUGAUGGGCAAACACGACGCCUUUUCAGGUUGGAGGGGGCCUUUGUGGUCUGAGAGAGAGAGAGGGAGAGAGAGAGAGAGAGAGCUCCUCUAAUUCAAUCAUAUAAAAGUAAAACUGAUGAUAAAUCAUUCCAAACACACAAAUAACGUUAUAAAAAUGCAGUCUCUUUAAUUAAUUAUUGACAAAUAGCUUGAAAUCUUUCAAAAUGCGGUCCAUUCAUUUUGCGGUUGCGGUUGUGAUUUCUUCGUUUUGUUGAAGCUCGCCCAGCCUCUCAACAACGGUGCAAUCCACUUUACAUAUGAGGAGGUGGGGGGAGCUGCCCUUGUUGCAGAGGAGGACCUUGCUUCCUCGGUCUAUUUGUAUUAAUAAAAUUUACUAUCUGCUUCUCAUACAUACCCAACUUCUCUUUCAAACCAGAUGUAAUGCUACUCUUGGGAAUCUGUAAGACUGAUAUGAGGCGCUCCAACAUGGUUUUGAACAUUUUUAGCUUCUCAAGCUGCUCUGACUUUGGUUGUUGUGGAAGAGAAUCGUGCUGGCAAACAGAAAGAACAGACGUCAGUAAGCAAAAGAAUGGCAAUAUAAGGAGUAACAACUUUGUCGCGAAAUCUUAUUAGCAUUAUUGGUGAGGUAACAAUCCCAAUUAGACAGUCUACAUGGGUACAAUAAUUAAAAGGGAGAUCAAGGUAGAAUCCAUCAAAGAGCAGCACCACAAUAACCUAGCAGGGAAAGCCCCGCUUAUUGCUAAAAGUUCAAGCAACAAAUUAUGAGAGAAGAAAAAAUUGAAUUGAUUACAUACCUGCUGAAGUUUAGUAGCAAUUUUCUGAUACAUUUCACUUAGUUCGGGUACGUACCUUUCCUUCAUGACUUUGAUCUGCAAAUGAAAGUUAUAAAUACAAAGAUGAUUAGAAAGAACUUUGCUGCAGCUACAUGCUUGCCGAUACUCAUGAAUUCAGACAGCAUGAAUUCAUGUAUGCUUGUAUCUAAUGAAGCAAGUUUUAAUUAACUCCCAACCGAUGGUAGCUUAACAAAGCUGCCCCACAAGGAAUCUUAACUAGCAUGUAAUUUCUUCAAAAUCCCCAUUCAAGGCAAUUUUGGCAUUAGUAUAAUUAUUUUCCAGUAGCUCUAUUCCCACCCCCACGCCAAAUAAUUUGUGUUUUUAUAUUUAGAUGUUGUAUGUGAAAGCCAUCAAAUGGACAAGAAGUCAGGACAUCUUACUUUUUGAUAGACCUCCUCUUGCCAAUCACCCCCAUUUGCAUAUCCAGUCUGAGCUGAGGAAUCUAGAGAAGCUACAAAAUAUAGAGAGAUAUAUAUGUCAAUGUUUGCACAUAAAAUGAAAUUUGAACACGAGGGUUAAAAAUGAGAAAGAAAAAAAAAAGCAUUGCAUGGAAAACAUUGAUAUGGAAAAUUAUCCUUCCCAAACAGUUGAGGUGCAAUUUUGCUCCUACUUUCUGCUUAUGACAGCAAUUACAUUUUUAUGGGAAGACUUCAGGUGCAAUUUUGCCCUUGAUUGGGGACUUGGGGUUGCAUACCGAAAGACCCUACUCAAGUAAAUAGCGAGAAUAAACACCAUAUCAAGAAUAAACACCAUAUAAACAAGCAUCAAAACAAGAAAACAAUAAAUGUCAUUUGUACUCAUCAUUUGAUCCAUUAAAUACAAGCGAAUAAAGAUAUCAAGAACGAAUCAUCUCAGUUAAGAAAUGCGGGAGUAAUUAAGAAAAAGAACGAACAUUUCUCGCAACAGAUCAACCAUCAAGAAGAAAGGUAGCCAAGAGAGAAAAGGGCAGUUUUCAAUAGUUGUUUUUACUGUUACCAGCAGAGUUAGAUUGUAAAGGAUUGCCCAUUGAAUUCUGAGACUUGGUCUCCAGUGUGAGCAUCUUCAGAGAAAUUUUCCGUAGAUAAUCCGACUACAAAAUAAAAAAAUCCAUGCUAAAUUUAGAAUACAGUUCUAUCCAAAAUAUGAAGAAAGUUCAAACAUAUACAACAUUUUUUUAAGAAGUCAUAUAUGUAAUAGAUAGGUAAGUAUUUAAGUACACAAACAUUUCAUGCACCAUAAGAAAUAAGAACUCUGGUAUUAUGGAAGCACCUGGCUUGUGGCUGCAGUAUAAAUCUUUUCCUCAAACCUUACAGCAAUUUUACUGAGUUCCUGCAAUCCAUCUUGUCCGGAGAAGGGAAAAUGCCUCUUCAACGUAUCCAUUCUAUACAUGCAAUAAAAUCAACACCAGUUACUGACUACCAAUAUGUUUUAAGUUUGAAGUCCUCCCGCCAUAGUUUAGAUUAGAUUACGCUAAAUUAGACUACCGCUUGAAACAAAAAAAAGAAUCGACAAAGAAAAACACUUACAGAUUGUUGACAAUUCUUUGCCUUGAAUCAGCCUGCAGCUGACUCCUCCAAUCGCCGGCAUCCAUGGCGGCCUCUCCAACUUGAGAAGGCCUCCACUUAUUGGUAUCCAUCAAAUCCAAUCAACCCAACAAAACUGCCAAAAACAAAAGCACAGGACUGAGCAACUUCAACGAAAACCUACGAAAACGGCACAAAAAUUCGUACAAGAGCUAUUCGAACGACGAUACAGUUUAUAAUUACGCAGGCAGUUUUUUUGCUUCAGAAAUUGCAUUCAUUCAAGCUGAUUCUAAACACGGUUUAGGCGCCAUGAAAAAUCAAAACUUGCAAUUCACAUACAAUCGAAAACCAGAUACGAUUUACACAAUCAAAUCAAAAAAAAAAAAAACAAUAACGAAUUUCCCACAAAACCCACGAUCGAUCAACAUCUAAAACAAAAAACCCAACAAAAUUUGACCAAAAAGUUACCUCUUUUGUUUCAGAACAGGAGAAUUGAAGAUUGAAAGGUUCAGGUUGCCUGGAGUGAAACAACGGAGAAAUUGCAGAACUGGGAAAUCGGGGGAUUGGGAAAGGAAGGAGGGUUCUUGCUCAAAAGCUUCAAACUUUGACAAGAUUGAAUGGAUUGAGGGGAUGGUUUGGGAGUGACAUAAAAAAAAAAAGCACCAUGAAAAAAAGUGCGAGAGUUUUAGGUGUUUGGUAAACUGAAGAAAAAAAAGCUUAUUUUGGAAGCUGAUGUGAGAAUAAGCUGAAAUUAAAAGAAAAAGCUGAAGCUGCUAUUUGCAGCUUUGGAAAACUGGCAUUUUUUCAAAACACACAGAGCUAGAGUGCUCUUUUAAUGAAAAGACCCACUAUCAGAUUGUUUUUUUUUUUUUUCAAAAGCACUUUUACAAAAAAGUUUACCAAACACUCUACUGAUUUAUUUCACAGCUGCUUAUUCUCACAACAACUUUUUUUUCAAAGCACAGCAAUAUCAGACCAGCCCUGAUGCGUCUGAUGUGGUCUUUUUAGUUAAGUAGGAAGGGAGAGACAACAAAUAUCCCGUUUUAACCAAUGUCUGAUUUUUUAGGUUUUUUUUUAUAGAAAAACUAAUGAAAAGCGUCUGAAAUGUUUUAGUUUUAAUAAAAAAUCAUGUUAUAAGUUUUGUUUAAUGAUUAGUAUAAAACUCAUAUUAAAGUAGUCCAACUAAAAAUGGUCUAACUAUAAUAACUUAUUAUUUGUUGAUUUUACCUUUAACUUUUUUAGGUUGACUUUCAGAUUUUCGUCGUUAAUGAAGUUCAUCGUUGUUUUGCAGACUUUCUUCUUUUUCUUUGAAACAAAAAUAUAGAUCCUCAUGCAAGUUAAUUUAUAUUUUGUAUUAUUUUGUUGAAACGUGAUUGUUGUUAUUAUUCAUAAAGUAUUCGAAAUAUUGUUUUUCAAUUUUUCUUUGUUAGUGGAGUUCAUCGUUUGUUUUUACAAAAAAAAAUUUGAGAUCUGCAUGUUAUUCAAUAAUAACGAUGGUCAGUGUUUCUGGACUGUAAAAAUAAACUGUUUCUGGAUUUUAAGUAACACUGUUUCUGGAUCUAAAUGAAAUAGACACACUGUUUCUUAAAUGAAAGCUAGAAAAGAAAUAGUGAAAUUCAUUGUAUUUGAAUUCAAAGAAAAAUAAGCAUCAUGUUUUUUAAAUAUAAUCAACUGAUGCAUGCAAGAAAAGAAACAAUCAAAGGUUAAAACAUAGACUGUUUCUGGAAUUUAAAGCACUGUUUUUUGAAUUUAAGUCAUUGUUUAUGGAUUUUGGUUCUUUUAUUUUCAGAUAGAGUGUUUGUUUGUGCACAGAAAAAACAAAAAAUGUAUCUGAUUUUUUUUUUCCAAAAAUAGUGUUAUGUUUUGGGUUCUCCAGAAACAGUUUUAUGUUUUGGUUUUUUUUUUCCUAUUUACAAACGCCUGACAUGUAUGUACAUCACCGGGACCGUAGGUCCUUAUUGGAUCUGAUUGGAAUAAAAUACUAACACUAUAAAUUGUUCGUGGUGCAGAUAAGAGGAUGAGGAUGAGGACGAUGACGAGGACAAGGAGGAUAAGGGCACGAAAAAGGUAGACAAUAGUUUUGGAUGAUUUUUUAUUAAACUUUGAGCCCUUUUGGUUAAAUAAUAUUUUAGGAUGAUUUUUGGUUAAAUAUUUGUUGGCCCAAAUCAUUUUCAUUAAAGCUCCAUUUUUUUAUUUAUGUUUGAAAUUUGAAUUUUUUAGGGACAAAAUGACGAUAAAACCAUUGUCCUUAGGACUUUAUAAGUUGCCACUUACCACUUUAUCCUAAUCCUUCUAGGCUUUCUAGUCAAAUCCCAAUAGGAUAGGAAUAUUUCCGACUGUGUCAAAAGAACAAAGUAAUCUUCUUUAUAACUAGCAUCUCGGUAUGCGCUUAAAUGCGCGAAUUGACUUUUAAACACCAAUUAAUGUGUUGGCAUUUCAUUAGUUUUAUGUUUUAUAUCAUCACUUUGAAACUUAUUUAUUUGUACUAAAUAAGAAAUUGCUAUAUAUAGUUGGUGUAAUAAGUUUGUGUCUCUAACAUUAUUGAUGUAAAUAGACUGAUUUUCUUAUAUUUUUUUAAUUUUUUAUUUAUUAAUUAUAUAACUUUACACUUUAUUGCUAUUCAAAGAAGACAGAACAAGGAGGAGAUCAAUUAUUCCUCAAUUAAUCUACUUCUUGACCUUUUUGGUAUUAAGUUACAUAUAGUAAGCAUCACGUAACUUUUAUUUUCAUGUGUUAAUAAAUGUAAGAAUCCAAAUGAUUUCGUGGUUGGCAUGAAAUCUUCAAUAUAACCUCUUGUCCCAUGAGAUUUGAAACCAUUACAUCAUCCGACAAAAUGGAGAUCCAAAAACCAUUAGUACAAAGGUAGAAUACAACCAAACUCUAGGUAUAGCAAUAUUUUUUUCUCUCUAACAAAAGCCAAUACAUGCAGAUGACGCUUUAUCAUAGUGACGAAAAACAAUUAUAUCCAUGCACCCCAACCAACCUCCUCACCCCUAACAAAAGCCAAUACAUUGAUAUCCUCUACCCUUAUAAAGUCAUCACAUUUUUAUUCAGAGAAUGGAGGAGAGAAGCUGAAGUAGCAUAUGAGGCCAUGAGAACAUGUUCAACAUGGAAAUUCAGACCAACGAAGCAUAAAAACCAUAUGGCAAAGAUGAUGAUGCAUCUGGAACAAUUGACAAACUCGAUAAAAAAGAUGUGAUGUGCAAACACGACGCCCUUUCAGGUUGGAGGGGGCCUUUGUGGUCUGAGACUCGGUCUCCAUUGUGAAGUCACGGCCCAGGAUCAUGGAAGUACCUGGACUGUGGCUGCAGUAUACUAAUAAGAGAGAGAGAGAGAGAGAGAGAGAGAGCUCCUCUAAUUCAACCAUAUAAAAGUAAAACUGAUGAUAAAUCAUUCCCAUAGUCAUACAAUAAAAGUAAAUAACAUUUCUACUGUUCCAAACACACAUACAACGUCAAAAAAAUGCAGUCUCUUUAAUUAAUUAUUGGCAAAUAGCUAGAAAUCUUUCAAAAUGCGGUCCAUUCAUUUCGCGAUUGCGGUUGCGGUUUCUUCGUUUUGUUGAAGCUCGCCAGCAUCUCUACAAUGGUGCAAUCCACUUUACAAUGCACUGUGCAGUGCCCAUUGCACUUCCUUUUCCACUGCCCUGGCAUUAUCAGCAGAAUCCGCAUAUGUUUGACAAUAUUUUUCCGCGUAUGUUGCAAAUGAUAUAAAUUCUUCAGGCGUCACAUCCUUCUUGCCCUUGUUUCUUCUUCUGGCAGCAGCAGUGGCGGGAGUAGCAGCACCACACCGAUGACAACGCCCAGCCUUCCACCUCACAGCAGCAAACAGAUGCACUCAAUGCAUCUGAGCCAAUGUCACUGACAGAUGCACUCAAUGCAUUAGGUGACAUCGAUUUCACCUGCAAGUUCAAAAUCCAGAAAUUUAAUUUAAGCACAAGUGAGGGAAGGAAAAGACCAACUUAGAUGCUAAGUACUGAAACAUCAUUACAGCACUCAAAAAGAGAAAUAUGUAAUAAGAACCACUUUACUAACCGCGUUCAAGAG